RNAcentral lists this long non-coding RNA (56068 nucleotides) under Capsicum annuum. RNAcentral's name for it is "long non-coding RNA (CANN_LNC000545)". Lineage: Eukaryota; Viridiplantae; Streptophyta; Magnoliopsida; Solanales; Solanaceae. The record is from RNAcentral.
GCCAAUUUCUUCACAUAGUACAAUGUGUCCUUCAACAAAUCUUCAUACUUUAAGAACAAUACUUUAUCAUGUCUCUCUACAUCAUGACUUGCUUCCCAAUACCCCAACACGUGAUUCCAGUAAGGUCCAUAAAACAAUUUGCCUUCACAAAACCACUUGACUUGGUGUUCAAGUGUAAGAAUAUUUGCUACUGAUUCAUCUUGGUCAAAUACCUUUUGACUGAAUCUCCACAAAGAAAUUAAGGUAUCUUUGGGUUCUCUGCAUAUGUAAAUGAUCUUGCAAUUGGAUUCUAGUAUGGAUGGUGGUAAGUGACUGUAAGGAACAUGUGUGGAUAAUAAUGGCAACUCUGUGUCUACAAAUUUAGGGUUGGAGAUAAAAUCAACUUCCAAAAAAGGUAGGCAAUCAUGGGGUACCUUAUUGAGUAAAGGGUUAUUUUUAGAGUCGUCAUCAUGAAAAAUAUGUCUAGUCAUAACGGAAAAGGUUAAAGCUUUAAGCCAAGUGGUGCCUGUUUUCAUAGCACUGCAAAGGAAACUAUCAGAGGGUCGAGCCUUGAAGUUUUCUUGCAUAUAUAAAAUUACUUGUAAGAACUGUAUAGGGUACCAAAAUCCUUGAUAUUGGUAACAUUUAUAACCAGGAUAGGAAGGCUCUAGUUUGGGGAGGGUUGAUAUUAUAUCUUUGUAUUUUUCACACAUAUUCUUGAAAUUUUCUGAUCCAUAGCUUGCAGAUAAACGACUAGCGUUGCAAGGGAAAUUAGAGGGACUCAUUUUUUGAAGAUUGGGAAAGUGAGGAUUAAAAAAAGAAAAUACUAAGAAACAACUUCUUUAUUGAUAAAGAACAGAAGUUUGGUAGUAUAUUGCCAAUAAGUCCUUUACUCAUCCAUGAUCCUACACUAUAUCAUCAUAUCUCUACCACUCUAUCUACACCACAGAUUCAUAUACCCUUUGUUAUGAUAGGUUGCUUUCAUUGACAACAAGGAAACAAGACUCACAAACCAUAAGUAUGAAUUAUUGAUAUGUAGGACGAUUUCAAUAAUGGAAAGGACCUGAUCGACAACAGGUCGAUGACCAAUAUAACAUAUCAUUAGCAAUAUGAAAUUCUGCAUUACCAACCUAGCUAAUUUAUGUAUUCCUAAUAUAUUGGUUGGUUUAAUGUUAUUCAACUCUCAAUACCUACAGGCGAAAAGGACACUCUGUAGCACUUUUUAAAACAAAUAGUGUAAGUUUGAUAUUUUUCCAAAAAGUUAUCAGUCGGUAUAUUAUUUCCACUUUAUAAUUGUUUCAUAAUUUGGGUAAUUUUGGCUCAUGUAGUUAAGAUACAAUACAUAUACGAUACUGAUACAGUACAUAUACAAUAUUGAUAUAAUUUUCAACUUGACCAUUCGGUCCUUUUAAAAAUAUUUUAAUUUUUUUUGCUAUAAAUUUUUUAACUGAAAAAAAUAUUUCAGUUUUUUUUUUUCCUAUAAAUUUUUAACUGAAAAAAUAUUCUGUUUUUUUUUUUAUUGUUUAGAAAUACUACUAAUAAUUAAAUGUAAUUAUAUAAAAACAAUAUAAUUGUUAGAUAGAAUAUGUAUCGAUAUAAGAUAUAUGUAUAGGAAUUGUAUAGUUCUAUCAAAUAUAUAUAUGUAUAAAAUAUAUAUAAAGUGUAUAAAAAUUAUAUAAUGUUGUAUAAAAUGUGUAAAAAAAAGUACAAUUAUUGUGUAGAUUGUGUAUCGAAACUGUAUAAUUUAUGUAUAAAAUAUUUAUAUUUAUAAGAUAUGUAUAGAAACUGUAUAGAAAGUGUAUAAAAAUGAUAUAGAACAAGCCAGCAAAUUAAAAUGGCUAGAAAGUGGAAUUUAAAUUCCAUGACCAUUUUGGUGAAAAUAGUUUAAUUUGAAGUGUUGUAUCUGUCCUUUCCCCUCACUAAUGGAGCUUUUGGAUCACCACAUUAGAUUUUGCAUUUCUAUGUCAAAAAAAUAUACAAGCAAGAUAGAUUCAUGUAUGCAAAUGAGUUUAUGCAGCUCUAAAACUUAAAAAAGAACUGCUUCCAAAGACCAUCAGAAAGAAUGGAGGGCUUUACUUGGAAAGUAAUGUAGAGAACUAAAAUGAGAAAAAACCGUAAGGACCGUUGUACGGAGCGGCCCAUGAGCUAGCCCAAUUCAUAUUGUUCAAGUCCCACGGGCCACGGACUUAUUCGGGCCGGUUAAAAGGCUUUGUUCUUAAAUGAGUUGCAAAAACUGCCUAUUUAUCAAAUUAUUGGUCGGAUCGAAUUCGCCCAUCGGGCUUGGCCCAUAUUGAUGAUAUUGAUUGCUCUACUAAAAACAAAUGGAUUUAUGGCACUUUUCAUAUUUUAGUUUGCAAUUUAUUUUAAAAAAAAACAUUAAUUAGAGAUUAAUUUAACUAACUUAUCUUUAUUUAUCACUCCUUCUUUAAUAUUAAUCAUUUACACUAUAUUAUAUGUUUUGUCAUAGUUAUGACUAAGACUAAAGAUGAUAAAAAACAAGUAAUUAUGUCUUGAUUUUCUAAAAUGACAAGUACAGAGUAACUAUUUUUAGUAAGAAUGACAAGUAUUCAGAAAUGAAUGAGUACCGUAUGUAUUAAAAUAAAUAUAAUAAAACUCAAAUUUUUACUGUAUAUCGUAAUUUCUUUAGACCCUCGUCGUUUUGGAUAAAUAGCGGACAUAUAUUUACUUUGUGAGGUAAUUUUCCUAUUUUUUGUUUCUAUGAUUAUUUGUACUUAUUAAUUACUAAUUUUAUUUUAUUAGUUUUUUUUCUAUGUUUACUUUUACUUAUUAAUUGAUAAUUAUAUUUUAUCUUUUUAUUCUUUCAUUUGGUGGAAUUAUAUAGAUUAUGUUGUUGUUAAUGUUAUGUUUUGUCUUUUUACUCUACUCUUUUCAUAAUGACUAUUCCAUAUCUGUUUGUUUUUUAAUGAUAUAAUAAGUUAAAUUUUCAGAUUCAUAUAUAUGAUCUUUAUUGAGAUUGGGUUGGUGUUCAGUGUACCCUAUUGUAUUCGUCUCUUCUCCUUCUUGUCCUCUUGUACUUCCGUCCUUCUUAUUCUUCGAAAUAGUAGAAGUCUGACCUUCCCAUCUUACUAGUUAUCCGUGGUUUGUGCGAAGUCCGAGCUCAAAUUCUAAAUAUAAAAAUAAUAAUAUUUUAAUUUAAACUUUUAAUUUAUAUUAUAUUCUUUUAAUGCAUAAUUAAUAAAACUUAAUGACAUGUUAAAAUAAAUUAUUCAUAAUUUUUCAGUAUUACUAAAUUUUACCAAAAGUUAUAGUAAAAAAAAUUAUAAAGAGUAGUCUAAUUGGUUUUUUUAUUCAUAGUUAUAGUAUUUUUAGUUUUGAUAUACUCCUUAUAAAAUUAUUUUCAUCUAUAAAUAAAAGUAAUCUUCAUUACUCUACCUUAAUAAAAGUACCAAUUUAAUAUAAAGUUUUGGUUAUGUACAAAUUCAGCUGUCUUAAAUUUGAUUUUAAAAUUUGCUACUCCAUCUCAAUUUAAAUAUCUUACAUUUUUUUUAUAUGUUCCAAAAAGAGAGGCUUUUUUCAUAAUUAGUAUUAGUACCUGCGCGAUGCACGGUCGAUAUUAAAUCAAAUUAAUUAAAUGGAUUAAAUGGAGUGAGCAAAAUAAUAAUAUUAUGGAACUUAAAAAAGGAUCAAAUAAAAGAAAUAGAGAUCAAAGUAGAUCUUUAUGUCUAUAAUUGGAUAUUUAAUGUUGCAAUUAAAACAUUUUAUGUGUUCAACUUAGGUGUUGGACACGUAUUGUACUUUUGUGGGAAGAUUGGACAUGUUUAUAGUGAAACAGAGAAUGCAUGGAUGAGAAAUUUUCUAAGUCUACUACACGUAUUUAUUAAAAGUUAAUUGGAUGAUAUGAGAUAAGCUCAAGUAAAAGUACCAUUUACAUAGCUCGAUGACAGAUCUUCACAAUAUUAUACUUUUAAUAUAAAGAUCAACAAGCAAAGAGAAAUUAAAGAUAAAUUAUGGUAUAAAUAUAGAAGGUGAUUCCAACCCAAGUUCGUGAGUACAACCAAAAAAUGUCCAUCCUCACUUAUAUUAAAUUUAAGUAGUAUAGUAAUAAUGUUAGGACCAUUCAAACAAGCUUCUAUAAUCUCAGAUAAAACCAAAUGACCCCAAGUAAUGAAUUAUUGAUCAUUAAGGACAAUUUCAGAAAUGGAUAGGCCAAACAAACCAAAGUAAUGAAUUAUUAAUUAACCAUUCUUAAUUAAAAGACACAACUCAAAACCCCAAAUUUAAUAUUCAGAAACCAAAAAAAUAAAACCCCUCCUCACAAGGUGAAACCAAAAAAAAAAUAAAAAGAAAUUAUCCUUCUCCUAGCUUUUAUCUUGUCCCAACGUGAAACCAAAAAAUUAUUAAAUAAAAUUAAAAAAAGUUUCCUCCCCCAAGCUGACGCAUUUUGUCAAAUAAAAGAAAGAAUUUCCAUCUCCCAUGGAUUUUAACAUCACCUUUUCAUGUAAAAUAGGAAUAAGAAAAUUCAAAAAUUCUUUCACUUUUUCUGUAUUGUUGAUUGCUGCUUGUUCAUUAACGAUGUAAACACAAUAUUAAUUGUUAUGUCAAUAAUUUAGCAUAUAUUCUUAAUUGAUCUAAUUUGUGUUAUUAGUUGAUUUAAUGUUAUUAAUUGAUUAAUUUGAAUUUCUUGUUGGAUCUAUUAAUAACUGUCGUUCUUCCUUGGUUAAAUAUACUAAAACAACUUACAUAUUCAGGUAUAGUUUACUCAACUCGUCACUUUUUCUUUAACGAUUUAAACACAAUAUUAAUUGUUAUGCCAACAAUUUAACUUAUAUUCUUAAUCGUGGAUAGGCCAAACAAACCAAAGUAAUGAAUUAUUAAUUAACCAUUCUUAAUUAAAAGACACAACUCAAAACCCCAAAUUUAAUAUUCAGAAACCAAAAAAAUAAAACCCCUCCUCACAAGGUGAAACCAAAAAAAAAUAAAAAGAAAUUAUCCUUCUCCUAGCUUUUAUCUUGUCCCAACGUGAAACCAAAAAAUUAUUAAAUAAAAUUAAAAAAAGUUUCCUCCCCCAAGCUGACGCAUUUUGUCAAAUAAAAGAAAGAAUUUCCAUCUCCCAUGGAUUUUAACAUCACCUUUUCAUGUAAAAUAGGAAUAAGAAAAUUCAAAAAUUCUUUCACUUUUUCUGUAUUGUUGAUUGCUGCUUGUUCAUUAACGAUGUAAACACAAUAUUAAUUGUUAUGUCAAUAAUUUAGCAUAUAUUCUUAAUUGAUCUAAUUUGUGUUAUUAGUUGAUUUAAUGUUAUUAAUUGAUUAAUUUGAAUUUCUUGUUGGAUCUAUUAAUAACUGUCGUUCUUCCUUGGUUAAAUAUACUAAAACAACUUACAUAUUCAGGUAUAGUUUACUCAACUCGUCACUUUUUCUUUAACGAUUUAAACACAAUAUUAAUUGUUAUGCCAACAAUUUAACUUAUAUUCUUAAUCGAUCUAAUUUGUGUUAUUAGUUGGUUUAAUGUUAUUAAUUGAUUAAUUUGAAUUUCUUGUUGGAUCUAUUAAUAAUUGUCAUUCUUCCUCGGUUAAAUAUACUAAAACAACUUACAUAUUUAGGUAUAGUUUACUCAACUCAUCUAUUUUUCUUCAUUCUACAUCAUGCACUAAUGCUAUUCUAACUCUUUUUUUAGAAACAAAUUCAAUUAUAGAAGUUGUUGUAAUUAGUACAUUGAAGUCAUGUCCAUAAUAAAAAUUCCUGAUCAUAGAGAGUGAUCCAACUAAAGAAUAUAAUAAAUUCUAACUCCCUUUUUAGAAACAAAUAUAAUUAUCGAAGUUGUUGCAAUUAGUGCAUUGAAGACAUGUCAAUAAUAACAAUUCCUGAUCAUAGAGAGUGAUCCAACAAAAGAAUAUAAUAAAGCAACAACGGAUAUUCGAAAGCUUCUAAAGUUAGUUGAUGAAGAGGUCAGAAUUUUUUUAAUUCGUCUUUAAUUUUUUUUUAUUAUAUAUUUUUACAUUCAUUAAAAUUAAUACCUCCACAAUAUUUUAGUGCACAAAACUUGAUGCUAUACUUUUCAAUGAUAAAAUCUAAAAUAGAGAACAUUAUCAAAACAAGGCAAUUUUUGUUAUAUCAUAAACAAUAUUUAAUUUUAAAUAAUCAAACUUUACACAUGCAAGACACGUGUAGUUAUACUAGUUAUAUACAAAUGCUCUUGCAAUAAUAUAUUUAUUUAUUUAUCGAACACUAAAAAAUAAAUAAUAAAUCACACUAUUAUUUCGGACCAAGACAUGCAUAGAAUUAUUCACUGAAGAACUGGUGCUUAACCAUAUUUCAAAAAAGCAAAAAAAUGUUACUUUCAAACAACGAAUUAAUCAAGCUAAGAGUGUAAUACGGGCAGAAGCUGAGUCAGGGUUUCAACUAAGGGGGUUUAAUAUUCAAAGAAAACUUAGUCGAAGGAGGUUCAACACCUACUAUAACCACAUAAAAAAUAAUUUUAAUCAUGUAAAUAAUAAAUUUUUCCGUCGAAGAAGGUUCGGCCGAACCCCCUAAAGAAGGCGAGCUCCGCCUCUAUAUACGGGUGCAGGUGAUGAUCCAAAUAUAUGAGGAAAAGUAAUGUAUUAUUGUAACACCUCGAUUUUCUGAACCGAAAUGCUACACGGAGCUCAUGACCCCGAGGGACCACAAGCUAACCUAUGACUGAUAUCUGUACCUGUACACUGCAUAAUAUAUAUAAUGCGGAACAAAGGCUGAUAGGCCAUGAUGUUCAAACUGAAUAUCAAACAUCUGGUGGGGUAUAAAUACCCAAAACAACCUGAAAUACUAUCUGAAAACAUGAUAGUCUAAAAAACCUCUAACUGUCAGAAAAGAGAGUUGAUGGGAUAUGUCCCCAACUAACUCCGAUAACUAAAUAAAACCGAGUACUGCAACGAUGAAACAGAAUAAUAUGUCCUCGGAUGAUGAGGGAUCACCAUUGACGCUGAAAGCUGAAACUGAUCAACUACUGCUGCUAUGGAUCUCGUGUCUCGAAACCUAUAGUGUAACAUAAAAGAAAGCACCAUAGCGCAAAUGCGUCAGUACAACUAAGAGUACUGAGUAUACGAGUGAGGUAGGCUAUAUGCUAUGGGUUACAUGCAUAAACAAUGCUAAAUAACUGACUAAUAUGAAUGUGAGAGUACAUGCAAAAUUAUGAGACCGAGACUGAUAUCGUGAUACAUGAAUACUGAAUCUGAUCUGACAUGGUACUGAUAACUGAUAACUGAUAUAACAUGGACGAAUGUGUCCGACAGUCCCGAUUCUGAUGAAACUAGCUGAGUUCCGUAUUGUAUCUGUAUUGACAGUAUCUAUCAUUCCUAAAGUCUGAAGAACUAUCUGAGUUCUUUUACUGAUGCUGAGACUAAAACUGUGGGAAGUAGUAGCUUAACCGACAUGCCCCAUGUAUGCUAAUAUAGCUGAACUGGGGUCUAAUCUUUACCCUGAUUGGAAGGGUGUCAAUACCGUGCCACGGGUAAAGACAAGCUGUGAGUGACCCUCAAAUUUGGAAGUGUCCCUAAAAGAGAAUGGCGGAUGUCCUCCUCAUCAACCCUCAAGCUGGCAGUGUUGAUGUCUCAACCUAUGCUGUCUUCAUAGUUCUGGAACACAAGGAUUGAUUCUAGAAAUCACACCCUCAUCUGAAGCAGGUGAGUUCCCAUCCUUGGGUUCACUUGGUGCUAACUUCUAUCUGAAGAGACUGAACAUGAUUGACUAAACUGUACAUGAGCUGAGUUUCCUGGAUUCCGUUGACUGACGGAAUGCUACUGAUAUCUGNNNNNNNNNNNNNNNNNNNNNNNNNNNNNNNNNNNNNNNNNNNNNNNNNNNNNNNNNNNNNNNNNNNNNNNNNNNNNNNNNNNNNNNNNNNNNNNNNNNNNNNNNNNNNNNNNNNNNNNNNNNNNNNNNNNNNNNNNNNNNNNNNNNNNNNNNNNNNNNNNNNNNNNNNNNNNNNNNNNNNNNNNNNNNNNNNNNNNNNNNNNNNNNNNNNNNNNNNNNNNNNNNNNNNNNNNNNNNNNNNNNNNNNNNNNNNNNNNNNNNNNNNNNNNNNNNNNNNNNNNNNNNNNNNNNNNNNNNNNNNNNNNNNNNNNNNNNNNNNNNNNNNNNNNNNNNNNNNNNNNNNNNNNNNNNNNNNNNNNNNNNNNNNNNNNNNNNNNNNNNNNNNNNNNNNNNNNNNNNNNNNNNNNNNNNNNNNNNNNNNNNNNNNNNNNNNNNNNNNNNNNNNNNNNNNNNNNNNNNNNNNNNNNNNNNNNNNNNNNNNNNNNNNNNNNNNNNNNNNNNNNNNNNNNNNNNNNNNNNNNNNNNNNNNNNNNNNNNNNNNNNNNNNNNNNNNNNNNNNNNNNNNNNNNNNNNNNNNNNNNNNNNNNNNNNNNNNNNNNNNNNNNNNNNNNNNNNNNNNNNNNNNNNNNNNNNNNNNNNNNNNNNNNNNNNNNNNNNNNNNNNNNNNNNNNNNNNNNNNNNNNNNNNNNNNNNNNNNNNNNNNNNNNNNNNNNNNNNNNNNNNNNNNNNNNNNNNNNNNNNNNNNNNNNNNNNNNNNNNNNNNNNNNNNNNNNNNNNNNNNNNNNNNNNNNNNNNNNNNNNNNNNNNNNNNNNNNNNNNNNNNNNNNNNNNNNNCAUACCUUAGAUGGAAGAUUCUUGAUGAUUAACGGUGAAAUCCUUUGAACUUGGGUCUUCAAAUUGAAGCCCUUUCUCUUGUUCUUGAGAGAAAAUGAUGAAAAGGGAUAUAUUUUGGUCCAAAUGAGCCUUAAUACUGUGUUUGUGUAUAUAUGUAGGGUGGGAAAAAAUACUAAAAUACCCCUAAGGAAAGGGAGAAAGACGCAGCUGUCCCUCUGUUGACAGUUUUGAUAUGCUGAAGUAAAUUGAUCAUAAAUUUUUACUCCGACGUUGGAUUUGGAUGAAACUAAUUGCAUAGAAAAGAAGAUUCAAAUAUAUUUCCAUUUAUAUAUAGCAGCCCUCGCAGUUCAUUAUAUACAGGGAGUUAUGGUCGUUUGAAGUUGACCCUAAAAUUUUGGCCUGAAAUGCGCCCGGAAUGCGGGAGCAUUUCAAACCAGUGAGUUCAGCCACUGAAAUGCGCCCAAAAUGCAUUCUAAAUAUGACCAAGACAUACUAGGGUCUUUCCCCAUCACAACGCAACUUGAAAAUUAAAAAACGGAGGUCGGGAAGGUCGCCAAAUAAAUCCCCGAAGUUCGGAGGCUUGAAAUGUGACUAGUGUUGAACACUUAGCAAAAAUUCUUCUAAGUAUUGGAUUUUCUUAUCAAGCCUUAAGGAGUUGAGUUAGACUUAAAAUUUUAUGGGGUCUUACAAUUAUUAAGUGCAGCCAAUGCAUUAAAACUUUCUUUAUACAAUACAUGAGGUUUGGGGGAAGGGGCGAACCACAUGAAUUUAUUGUACUGGCUAUCCCAUAUUUCUACAAGAAGUUAUUUCUACGGUUUGAAUCCAUGACCUCCAAGUCACAUGGAAACAACUGUAAAAGUAACGUAUUUCCCUCCGUCCCAUAUGUGGCACAUUUCGCUUUUCAAGAGUCAAGCAAUAUAACUUUGCCAUGAAGUUGAGCAUUAAAUCUUCAAUUUUUUUUGAAAUAAAAUUUAUAUAUUUGAAAACUACAUAAAAAACACUAAAAGUGGCAACAAUUGAUAAUUCAAAAUAUUUAAACAUAUAUGAAAAAAUUACGAUAAAAAAUAGACAUGUUGAAACUCGAAAUCUUAAACUUGCCACAGAAAUUGAAAUGCAUGGAGUAUUAUUGAAGCUAUUUUACUUUUUCAAAUAUUAAACCAUAGAGGAAAAUUGAAAGCGCGGAACCAACAGCAGUGCUCUUUCUAACUAAAACUUAUGUUAUUUAGUAGCCGUUUGAUUAUGAAAAUUAUUUCCUUUUUUCCGAAAAGUUAUUUCACUUUAGUGAAAAAAGUGAAAAUAAGAUGUGUUUGGUCGUGAAAAUUUCAAAUACAAUUCCGGAAUGUAUUUGGAUUCACUUUUUUCGCUCACACUUCUCUAGCUACAACUUCAACUUCAAUUCCAACUCCGAAAAAUUAUGAUUUUCAUGGCGAAACGGGGCCGUAUUAUCUGGAUGAAUCUUUUCAAGGUUCUCAUCACUAGCUUCAACCAUUUUCAACACCUAUUGACUAACCUGUCUUUUAUCCUCAAAUUGCUCGACUCUAUUUUGCGGCUACUAUAAGGAGUGUACAAACUAGUACUUCUAUCAUUCUUUUCACCAUCUCACUUCUUCCAAUCACCAUCCCAAUCUCUACCUAAUCUUUAUACCCUGACAGGUUGUAGUUGUUGUCCUUAUAAUAAUUCUGACCUUGAUUCGCUUGACCUUAGCGCCAAGUAUCUUCAUUAGAACCUUGGACUCUGGCCUAGAAACCCGCCACCAGAUCAUCCAAGUAGUUUGCCUCUUCAUCAAAAUCAAAAUCAUUGUCUUGGAUCCAUUAUAUUCCUUGCGAACCGGCUGCAUUUACGUUUUUAGUCGUAGCUCCCAUGUAAUGCUUACCGAUAAGACUUAUUUCAGUACUCAUUUCAGCUAUUGCUUGAUCUCACAAUCCUCUUCUAUCCUACACUGCUCCACGAAUAUACCUAUAGUAUAAGUGCUAGUGGAAACUUCAGACUCUCGUGUGUUGGCAUGCCCUAUUUAUCUUGGUGACCCCUAACAAGGAGUAUCACUGCUUCUGUUAUAAGUGUGACUCGUAAAUGCUCCUCCAGUGACUCUAUUAGCAAUCACGUUGGUAUUGGCAUUUAAGGACCUAUGAGAGAUCUCCAACAAAGUAUCAUCAGGUGUCCUAGGGGUGCAAAAAUUUACUUAAUAUGAAAUGGAGGGAGCAUUAUUUUUGGAGGAUUCAACAUGCGGCAUCAAUAUUUUCUUUUAAGAAAUCGAAAACCGUAGGGUUAAACUCAAGACUAAUGAAGAAGAGGCACUAAUUAUCAAGCCCAAAAGUUGAACAAGAAUAAGAAAAUUACACAAAACAAUGAAUAGUACAGGAGAACUUGUUUGUAAAAAAAAGUACUAUAUAUCAAGAUGACAAAAGAAGAAAGGAACCAAAAACUGCAUUAAACAAUUGUUCCAUUUUUAUUAUUUGGUGUUAAUCUGGUACUAUAUUGAAGAAGGGAAUGUUAAGCCUCAAGAUUGAAAUUUCUCCAUCGUUAUGUCAUCAAUUUCUUUUGCCAUAUCCUUGGUCAAAUAAUUCUUCCAAUCGCCAAUUUCUCCUUUCCGAAAAAAUAUACUAUUCUGAACUCGCUGAGUUUCUGGCCGAUGCAAGCCGGUUUUGUUCACCUCUAAAUUGCUCAAACUUUUGAAAUUACAGCGUGCUAUGAUUUCUUCAGGCACACCUCGUGUUUCUUCCUCCAUAGAGAAAGGUCUCUCCAUGAAUUCCGCCAAUUUCUUCACAUAGUAUAAUGUGUCCUUCAACAAAUCUUCAUACUUCAAGAACAAUACUUUAUCAUGUCUCUCUACAUCAUGACUUGCUUCCCAAUACCCCAACACGUGAUUCCAAUAAGGUCCAUAAAACGAUUUGCCUUCACAAAACCACUUGACUUGGUGUUCAAGUGUAAGAAUAUUUGCUACUGAUACAUCUUGGUCAAAUACCUUUUGACUGAAUUUCCACAAAGAAACUAAGGUAUCUUUGGGUUCUCUGCAUAUGUAAAUGAUCUUGCAAUUGGAUUCUAGUAUGGAUGGUGGUAAGUGACUGUAAGGAACAUGUGUGGAUAAUAAUGGCAACUCUGCAUCUACAAAUUUAGGGUUGGAGAUAAAAUCAACUUCCAAAAAGGGUAGGCAAUCAUGGGGUACCUUAUUGAGUAAAGGGUUAUUUGUAGAGUCGUCAUCAUGAAAAAUAUGCCUAGUCAUAAUGGAAAAGGUUAAAGCUUUAAGCCAAGUGGUGCCUGUUUUCAUAGCACUGCAAAGGAAAAUAUCAGAGGGUCGAGCCCUGAAGUUUUCUUGCAUAUAUAAAAUUACUUGUAAGAACUGUAUAGGGUACCAAAAUCCUUGAUAUUGGUAAGAUUCAUAACCAGGAUAGGAAGGCUCUAGUUUGGGGAGGGUUGAUAUUAUAUCUUUGUAUUUUUCACACAUAUUCUUGAAAUUUUCUGAUCCAUAGCUUGCAGAUAAACGACUAGCGUUGCAAGGGAAAUUAGAGGAACUCAUUUUUUGAAGACUGGGAAAGUGACGAUUAAAAAAAGAAAAUACUAAGAAACAACUUCUUUAUUGAUAAAGAAGAGAAGUUUGGUAGUAUAUUUUAAGUCCUUUACUCAUCCAUGGUCCUACACUAUAUCAUCCUAUCUCUAACACUCUAUCUACACCACAGAUUCACAUACCCUUUGUUAUGUUAGGUUGCUUUCAUUGCCAACAAGGAAGCAACACUCACAUGCCAUAAGUAUUGAAUUAUUGAUAUGUAGGACGAUUUCAAUAAUGGAAAGGACCUGACCGACAGGUCAGCAACCAAUAUAACAUCCCAUUAGCAAUAUGAAAUUCUGCAUUACCAACCUAGCUAAUUUAUGUAUUCCUAAUAUAUUGGUUGGUUUAAUGUUAUACAACUCCUAAUAACUACCGGGGCUUUUAGAUCACUGCAUUAGAUUCUGCAUCUCUAUGUAAGAAAGAAAAACACAUAAGCAGGACAGACUCUUCUAUGAAAAUGAGUUUAUGCAGCACUGCUGCCAAAGACCAUCAGAUAGAAUGGAGGGCUUUACUUGGAAAGUAAUGUAGAGAACUAAAGGGGUUCUAUAUUUAAAGAAAACUUAAGAUUUCAACUAAAGGGGUUUCAUAUUAAAAAAAAAUUAGUCGAAAUGGCUUCAACACCUGCAAUAACCACAUAAAAAAUAAUUUUAAUCAUGUAUAAAUCGUAUAUUUUUCCGUCGAAAGAAAUUCGGCCGAACCCCGAACAGAAGGCUGGCUCCCCCCUGCCAAGCGAUUCCUAAGAGAAUUAGAAAAGAUAUUUGUAGAGAGAAUUCUUGUUAUUUCAAGUAUAUACAAUAGGUCAAAAUAUGUUAUUUAGAGGAAGAGAUACAUAGUUAAAUACUUGUUAUAAUAAGUCAAACUUUGUUAUUACCUGCUGAUUCAAAAUUUGUUAUGGACAUUCACUCACUCAAAACAAGCGAUUCAUGACACUUUUCAUAUUUUUUGUUUGCAAUCAUUUUAAAAAAAAAAAAAACCUUAAUUAGAGACUAAUUUGACUAAAUUAUCUUUAUUUAUCACUUUUUUCUUUUAAUAUUAAUCUUUUUAACACUAUAUUUAUAUGUUUUGUCAUAUUUAUGACUAAGAAUAAUAAUGAAAGCAAAAAAUUAAUUACGUCUUGAUUUUCUAAAAUGAAAAUAUAGAAUAACUAUUUUUAGAAACGAUGACAAGUAUUCAGAAAUGGAGUGAGUAUGUAUUAAAAAAAUACAAUAAAAUUCAAACUUUCGAUGUAUGUAGUAGUAAUUUUUCUCAACUCUCGUCAUUUUGGAUAAAUACCCUACAUAUAUUUACUCUGUUAGGUGAUUUUCCUGUUUUUUCUUUCUAUGUUUAUUUUUACUUAUUAAUUACUAAUUUUAUUUUAUUGGUUUUUUUUUUCUAUGUUUAUUUUUACUUAUUAACUAGUGAAUAGGUUCGCGCUUUGCGUAAUGUGUAAGACGUUGUUGAAUUUAUAUAAAAAAAAUUAUAAUAAUAAAUUUUUGGUGAGCUAUUUUAUCGAAUGAAGAUAAAUUAUUGAAAAGAAAGAUGCUUAACACGUAAGAACUUCAACUUUUCAUUCAUACUUAAAUAUUUUUUCAUAAAUAUUACUCAAGUAUUAUAAAUGAUAAUAAUAUUUAGUAGAAAUCAUAAUUGAAAGUAAAUCAUAUACUUAAUUCGAGCUUGUCUUACCUAAUUUUAUUUAUUUGUUGUUUUAUACAUAACGGGUUAAUUAUGUAAAUAAGAAUAUUUAUAGUUAUUGUAGUGAUAAGUAAAAGUUAUACAUAAUCAAAGAUUUUUUUGUAUUACAUAAGUCCUCUCUUCUACUAUUAAUUAGGGGAGAAGGACAAAAAUAGCCCUUCUCCUAAAGCUUAUUCCACAAAAAUAGCCCCUGUUUUUAAUUCCCACUUAAUAGCCAUUAAAAUAAUACCAUAUUUUAGCCAUCUUCUAAUCACCACUAAGAAGCCGCAACAAUAGCAUAAUAUAUUUCUUUCCUUUUCAAUUGAAACUCACACUUUCCUUCCCCAGUUUUACCUUAGGAUUCCUUUCCAUUAAAAUCUCACAAAUCCUCUUUUAAAUACACCAUAUUACCUUAAAAUACCUUCAUAAAUUGUAUAUAAAUAUACAAUAUCCUCCGUCAAUUAGCUUCAAAAAAAAAUUUUCAUUCACAAUUAGCUUCAGUUGAUACGAAAUUAUGGCUUCAAGUUCGAUUUUAGUUCCAAUUAUGCUACAAUACGGAGGAGAGUUGUAGGUGAUGUACAGUUUGAAAAGUUUACAAUCAAUGGAGUACUUUUGAAUUUGAAUUGCAGGUACGAAUAUUUUGUUGAUGAAUUGUAUAACCAGUUGAAUCUAGAGCGAAAUUCUUGUUUAAUGACAAUAAAAUACAUUGUAAAGAGUGGAUCUAUGACUAUUUACAAUGAAUUUCCAUUGUGUAUAACACUACAAAACACAUUUGAAAAUGGAGAAUCCUCAAAUGGAAAUUUGAUCGAAACAUCUCUGACUGUUAUUCAAGUUUAUCCGAUACCUAUUUCUAAUUAUACAAUUGAAGGUGAAGAAAUGAAAGAAUAGGUCGAAUCGAUAAUUAAGGAUCCACUUCAUAGAGAUGUUGAAGAAGGGCAGCUGUACUGGGAUAAAAAUACAAUAUCAAGUGUGAUGAAACAUUAUGCAUUCCGUGAGAGAUUUCAAUUUAAGGUGAAAAGAUCAUCAUCAUCAAGGUAUAAACUAUAUAACUACUUUAUACAACAAUGUGUAAGUUUUAUAUUUUAUUGGAAUAUUAGUUUUAAAUUUGCAUAAAUACUGCAUAUAAACUGCAUAUGACCUGUAUACAGACUGUGUAACUACUAUAUAUGACCUGUAUAUAUACUGCAUAUGAAGUAUGUAAUUUCUAUAUAGCACCUGCAUAUAUAUUGGAUAUGAACAGUGCACUGCAUAUACAUUUAUUGUAUAUAAAUGUAUCUCGAUACUAUCUUAAGUGUAUCAAUCAGAGAUGCAAUUGGACUUUUAGAUCUUCAAGUCAACAAAAUUCAGAAGUUUUCAUGGUGACCAAAUUUGUCGAUGAUCACUCUUGUCCAAUUGAGGACAGAAUAUUUUCACAAUGGAAUGCUACUUCUUUAACCAUCGCUAAAAUUGUGAAGCACAAUUUUCUAAAUUUAAAGUCAACAUACACUCCAACAGAGAUCAUGGAAGAAAUGAAAAACUUGUAUGGAAUUAGGAUAAACUACAAAAAGCAUAUAGAGCCAAAGAAAAAACACUUGAACUGGUCAGAGGUUCCUUGCGUGAAUCUUAUGCUAAAUUGCCAGCUUACCUAUACAUGGUAAACACAAUAAAUCCUGAAUCAUUCACAAGACUACACAAAACGGAGGACAAUCACUUUUUAUAUGCUUUUGUCGCGUUGAGCACAUCAAUUAGGGGCUGGAGAUAUUGUAUGCCUACCAUUGUUGUUGAUGGAACUUUUCUGAAAUCUCCAUAGAAGGGAACAAUGUUAUCUGCAAGUGUGCUGGAUGCAGCAGGUGAGUUUUAUGAAAUUUUUUUAGACAAAAUUAUGCAUAUGCUGGCAUGAACUGAUAGACACUUUCCCACUUGUUUAAUCAAGACAUAUUUUGCCACUAGCAUAUGCUGUUGUUGAUUCUGAAAAUGAUGCUUCAUGGGAAUGGUUUUUCCACAUGUUUAACACUGCGUUUGGUGAAAUAAAAGGCAUUUGCAUAGUAUCUGAUAGGCAUGACAGCAUAUUAAAAGCUGCUGCACUUGUAUAUCCAAAUGUGGCUCACUGUAUAUGCAUCUACCAUCUAUGGAACAACAUCAAGGGUAGAUCUAAGAAGAAUCAAAAGCAAUUAACGGAGAUCUUCUUUACAAUGGCCAGAACAUACCUAAAGGCAGACUUUGAUCGACUUAUGGAUGACAUAAACAAAAUCGAUAAUAGGGUGAAGCAGUAUCUGUUUGAUAUAGGCUAUGAAAAAUGGUCUAUAGCUCAUGCCCAUAUCAACAGGUCGAUGUUCAUGACUUCAAACAUAGCUGAAAUCCCUAAAUUCAGCAAAUAGAGAUGUAAGAGACCUGCCAAUUAAAAAAUUCCUACAAUUUAUGAUAGAUCUGGUCAUGAGAUGGAAUAAUGAAUAUAGACAACAUUCAGAAGCAACAUUUACAGAACUGGGAAACAAAUACAAUAUAAUAAUGAGGGAAAAUCUCAUUCUAUCAAAUAAAAUGAAGGUAUUACUUCUAAUUUCUACUUCACAGACACUUACAUAUUGUAAUGUGUACACUAUAUACUGAUAUAUUUGUACAUUGCAGGUGAUGGGUUCUACUCAUUAUUCUUAUGUAGUCAUUGAUGAAACUGAAAAAUGAAACAUUGUUUGCAUGCGUGAAAAAAAAUAUUCUUGCCUACAAUUUCAAGUAGAUGGCAUACCUUGUCCACAUGCUAUGGAGGUCCUAACUUACACGCAUAUGGACUUACAAAACUAUUGUGCUACAUAUUACACAAGAGAAAACUUCUUGAAAGCAUAUGAACUUCCAGUUAUGCCACUUCCUGAUGAAAUAGCUUGGCACAUUCCAGCAGAGAUAUCAGCUAAUAUAGUACUGCCACCAAUCUGGAAACCAAAACCAGGAAGACCAAAAAAGAACAAUCGAGGAAAGGGCAUUAUGGAAUACUUUAAGCAACAAAUUUCAUGUGGGCGCUGUGGAAAAACAGGACACAAUCGAAGAACAUGUGAAAAUGCUCCAACAAGAAUCUAAUAGGAUGCUGCAAGAACACUUUUAUCUUUCUCAUUUUUUUCCUUGAAAAAAGACUAUUCUUUUCAUAGCAAUGUAAUAGUAACAAUAUUAUCUUACUUCAAAUGCAUUCUACUCUUAAAGAAAUCUGUGCAUUAUGGUGUUUCAUUUGGCCACAUUCUUUGGUGAGGUGCACUAAUCAACUCAUCUGAGCUGAGGGGGUGUAAUUUUUCUGCUACAAGUCUUAAUAAAACUGCUUAUCAUCUGUGUCAAUCUUGUAUAAUACCUAUAUACAGUUUGAAUAUAUAUAAGUACUAGUAUUUGUCUUUUGAACUAAUUAGCAAAUACAUAGCACCUCUAUAUUUUGAAUAUAACUACUUUUAUAAACUAUAUAAAUACUUUAUUACAACAAUAUAUAAGUUCUAUAUCUAGUUAGGAUAAAUGUAUAAAAUUGUAGAAAUAGUAUGCUUAAACUGUGUAACAACUGUACAGGGACUGAAUAAAUAUUGCAUAUAUACUGAAUAUUGGUAUAAAUUUGCAUAAAUACUUCACAUAAAUUGUAACUAUUGUAUAGAACUUGUAUAUGAACUGCAUAUGACCUGUGUACAGACUGUGUAACUACUAUAUAGGACCUGUAUAUAUACUGCACAUAAAGUACUGCAUAUGAACUGUGUAAUUUCUGUAUAGCACCUGCAUAUAUAUUGGAUAUUAGACUAUAUAACUACUUUAUAUGACUUGUGUCAACAUUAUGUAACUUUGAUAUUUGUUGGUAUAAAUUUGCAUAAAAAUUGCAUAUAAACUGCAUAUAACCUGUGUACAUACUGUGUAACAACUAUAUAGAACCUGUAUAUAUACUGCAUAUAAAGUACUACAUAUGAAUUGUGUAAUUUCUGUAUAGCACCUGUAUAUAAUAUUGGAUAUUAAAUUAUGUAGGAACUGAAUAAAUGUUACAUAUAUACUGAAUAUCAACUUUGAUCAACAUAAACUAACAUUUCAGUAUCAAUUGUACAGAAUUGUAUCAAUCACCAAAACAUAUAGUAUUCGGCAUAACAUUUCAUAAUAAUAACCUUCGAGUGUAUCAACACAAUACAGAAAUAACCCUAAGCAUUUCAACACUAAAACAUAUCUAACAUCAAUGCUUCAAAGACAUUUCUAACUAAAUUUGUUGCACACCAUCCUUUUUCUUCAACAAUCGACUAGGAGAUUCAUCUUUACUAACUGCAUAUUGACUUUGUUUCUUCUUUUCAUAAUCCCACAGCAACACACCAUAUCGAGUACGAAUAACAUCAAUAUCAUCUAGAUAAUUAGAAAUUUCAAGACUAUCAAGCAAAUACUCAGCAAAGGCAGCACAAAAGACACCACAGUUCCUGUAAACAUAAUACAUCAUCAGUAUAAUUGACAAAAAAAGUAUGUAAAAAUGAGAAAUUGAAUGUGCAUUCAAUAUAUUACGUGUUAUCUUGCGUUGGCAGUCCCUCAACAAUAUGAAUAUCAAAAGAAUUAGCCACUGGAAGUCCACCGCUCCUACUUUCCCAAAAUCCAAUACAAGAAAGAAAGUGUGGAAUUAAUUUGAAUAUACUGCAACUGAUUUCUGAACAUAAACAGCAUGCCUUGUACCAUGCAUUGAAUCAUACACACAUAUGCAUUGAUCUUUAAAAGAUAGUCUCGCUAAAAUCCAGUGAAACUCCUCAGCAAGAUUAAUUGGGAAAAGAACAUUGUCAACGCUAUUCUGCGGAACGUUGCAUCUCAUAAAAAAUCCAAGCAUGUACUCAACGAUUUGAUGUUCUUGAGUGAUAAGUGUUACAUCUCUAUUAUUCUCCACAAAAUGCUUAUAUAAAGUCUGAAUCAAGCCGUUAAACCAACAAUCUGUGGUUGUAAAUUUAACUGAAUCACAAACAGGCUCGUAUUUUGACUUCUUUAACAAAUAGUAAAAGAUAACAUCAAUAUGUAGAAAAUACGAACAACAAAAUCAUGUUAAAAUGCUAAAAAUGAAUACAAAACACUAAUUUAAAUCAUAUAAAUACAAGCUAUUUAUAUAACAUGCAUCAUAUCAACUAUUGCAUACAAAUUCUAUAUCUACUGUGUAGGACCUGUAUAUAUAUACUGAAUAGCAACUACUGCAUUUAAAUUGCGUACAUACUGUGUAAACACAGCAUAGAACCUGUAUAUACAUUGCAUAUUAAGUGUUGCAUAUAAACUGCGCAUAAAGUACUGCAUAAAUAAAGCAUAGAACUUAUAUAACGUUCAUCAUAUACAAAAUUUCAGUAUUCCAAUUAGAUUAUCACUAUCAAGUACAGAAAUAAAAGAUAUAUAAACUACAUAACUAACAAAUUCAUUACUUACUGAAUCGGUUAAUGGUACUCCUGGAUAUGCCAAUGUGAAGAACCACUCUUUUAUUUUAACAAUAUCUACUCCAUAGUCAAAAUAUUUUCGGAGAGCAUUGACAGAAUAGAAAUAAAUAGGACUAGAAAAAAAUGUUACAAAAAUUGUAAUAUAUGAUAAAAUAAAGUUAAACAAAAAGAAAUUAUAAACAGAAACUUACAUCUGUUUAACGCGCAACGAUCUCGCAACAAACCUGUUAAACUUUAAUUUCACUUUCAUAUCAUCAAUUCACUCCAUAAUACUCUUCACAAAAAGAUGCUUUAUAGAAAAGACAUGUUUUCUUGACUGAGCAUUCUUUACACACUUAGAUGAUUGGCCUUCAACUUUGCCACAACCAGAAUCAAAUUUUGACAAAAAUGAAGAUUUAUAUACUACCGUUGGCUUACAUAAUUGGCGAGGAAUAGCAGGUGUUUCAUCCAACAUAACAGGCGCAGACUCCAUGUUUUCCUCAAUCCCUUUAACAUUAUCACUUGUAGUUGCAUCAAAUUUUCUAACAUUAUCACAUACUAAAUUAGUCGUAUCAGUUGUUGCAACACUCUUAUCGGGUUGAGUGAACUUAGAAAUUUCAGCAUCUGUAAUUUCUGUCUAGUCAAGCUCAUUCUGGCUAACCACUACCACAUCACCUUAUUUUUGUGUCUUUUGAUCACAAAAGAUUGAGUAUAUUUAGACACUUCAGAAUCAGUAAUAUUAUAACAAUCACUAUCAACCCGACUAUUUCUACCCUCCCCUAUAUCCUUAUUUUCACCUGAGCUUUGUGUGAAUUUCAAAAAAUCAAAAUCUGGAAAAUUCUUCCAAGCACCAUCCCUUAAAGUUUCAUCCCCAAAAUCAACAUCGACAUGACCACCUUCACAAUUACCUACAAAAUUAACUUUCUAUCCAACGGUAUCCANNNNNNNNNNNNNNNNNNNNNNNNNNNNNNNNNNNNNNNNNNNUACAUCAUCCAUCAAAUUGUCACUUAUAUGAUCCACUUCCAGUGCAACAUCAUUUUGUUGUCCCACAUUAGGUGGAUCAUUAACUUGAUCAUCACCUGUACUACCAACAUUAGGUGUCUCAUCGUCUUUUUUAUUUGAGUUGUCACCAUUGUUAUCACCAAUUGAUGUACCAACCUUUAAAAUUUUUUUAUAAAAUAAGUACAAUAGUGUUUAUAAGAUUUGUUAAAAAAAAUAGGAGAAAUUCAGGAAAAGAAUACCUUAGUCUCAUUCUUUAUAUCUAGAGCUCAAAAAAUCAAUUCAAAUGAGGAUUUCAUAAACUUCUCCAUCGAGGAAACCUUUUCCGUUAACUAAACAUAAAAGGAAAAAGUCAACACAUCAAUUAACAAAAAAAUAUAAAUAUUAAUAAAAAACUUCGACAUACCAUUUUAACAUCACUUCGCAAAAGUGUCAAUUCAUUAUCUGAGCUCGACUGACUACAUUCUUAUUUACUGGUGCUAGGCAAAUCAACAGAGUGCACAACCGUAUCCACAGGUUUGAAAUCAGGUAAUUGAAGGAUUGUUUUUUCAAGAACUGUCGGUUUAAUGUUACGCAACACAACCUGCACAUAAGAAACAACGCUGACAUUUAAGAAGCACAUUAUAAUUUAACAAAGCAUAUAUAAAUUACAAUUUAAAACAACGAUAUACCUGCUCUUGCCAAAUAUCAAAAAAUGCAAACUCGACCUCCUUGUAUGUUGGUCUAUACUUUACAAACCAAUUCAAUAUAUGUGGCACACCAUCGCUCACUCAAUCAGCAAGAUAGCCAUCGGCAUAAGGACAACACUCAUAAAACCAACAUUGAAAUGCAAGAGGAAAACCAGCACAACGAUAUAUAGUUUUUCGCUGAUAAACCUUAGACUUCAUUGACUCCAAUAUCAGACGAAAAUAUAAUUUUUCCCAAGGAAAUAUUUCAUAGUUCCCAGAUUCAACCAAUAAGAAAUCAUUCUUAGUUAUAACAUAACUAUACGUGACAGAAAAAUAAAGGAAUAAAUGAAGAACAAAACAGAAAUUUGUAAAGCAUCUUCAUCACAUCGCCACUUUUUUCCCAUAAAACACUCUUCCAAAUCAAGCUUUGUGACCUUGGACUUUCCUGAAAAAUAUAACUCCAUCAGCUUACUUUCUUCACUAACAACAAACUCAUUAUUGUAAUUUCCGGCACAUUUUAAGCCGCUAAUUAUAGCAAACUCUUGUAAGCUGAAACGUAACUUAGUGUUAUUCACUUUAAUCCAUAUUUCAUCAUCUCUCUCACAAACAAGUUCCCUAAGCAACAUUCCAUGGAUAAGUUGAUUUUGAGGAAAAACAUUUGGUAAAGAUGAGAAAUACCCAAAGAAACUAUUCUUAAACAAAUCAAGUUGCUUCUUGUCCAACUUAGAUUUCAACGCAGUCACAAUAGCACAGUUUGUGUGCACACUGAGUUGACACUUGUAAUGAUCAGAUGGACCAAGAAACAAAUCCCAAACCUGCAACACGUAAGUGUGCUUUAGGUAUAAAUAUUUCAAAAAGCUACAUAUAUUACUCAUACAGUGUUGCUAAUUGUACACCGUUACAAUAUAAAUAGUUAAACUAUACAAGUUCUUAUACAAUCCUGAUACACAUAUAGUUAUACAGUAAAUGUACAUUAAUUUUACUAAUAUAGUAAUCAUUACAACCGUGUUGCUAAUUUUACACAGUUACAAUAUAAAUAUUCAAACUAUACACAGUUCUUAUUCAAUCAUGAUACACAAAUAGUUGUACUGUCAAUGUACACUAAUUGUACGCAUAUAGUAUAAAUAUUCAAACUAUACACAAUUCUUAUACAAUCCUGAUGCACAAAUAGCUAUACAAUCAAUGCACACUAAUUUUAGUCAUACAUACAGUAUAAAUAUUCAAACUAUACACAGUUCCUAUACAAUCUUGAUUCUCAAAUAGUUAUGCAUUCAAUGUACACUAAGGGGUCGUUUGGUAGAGUGUAUUGAAAAAUAUAAUACAUGAAUUAGUUAAUGUGUACUACUAGUAUCUUGUUUGGUACAAUUUUUUGCCUAUGUAUAACUAAUGUGAGCAUUAGUUAUACACUCUAUUGUGUAUUGAAGUAUGUAUUAGUAAUACACUCCAUUUCCUAUGUAUUAGUAAUACAAUGCCUUUUAACACAUGCAUUAACUUAUUAAAUGACCUUAAUACUCCUCAAUUUUCCUCUCAAAAAAAUUCAUCAUUCCAUUUCCUGCCAUUUUAAUUUGCAAUAGUGAAUCUUUUCAAAAUAUUUCAUAAUUUCUUUUCCAACCAUUUUAAUCUACAACAAUGAAUAGUUGAUUUAAAUAUUUGUAACAUAUUUUUUCUUUGCUUCGAAGGUCUUUAAAAAGAUUAAAAAAAUGAGACUAUUUCUUAAUUUUACGUCUUAUAUUUUAUUUUUGUUUUGACUAUGUUAAUCCGUCGGCGUAAUAUUUCAUGCGCAAAGACGAAGGUCUUGCAAUUACUCCGAAACCUCUAUAUACUAGUUCAACAAUACUAAUAUGUUUGAGAUGACAAAAAAAAUUUGUUUCAAAAAAAUGCACAAAAUCAAAGAAGGGUAUUUUUGUAAACAAACACUUCUUUUAUAGAUUUUAUGUAAGAUGUAUUAUUUCUUAUACAUCAAACCAAACAAUGUAUAAGAAAUAAUACAUGCAUAACUAAUACAAGUAUAACUAAUACAAACAUUACUAAUGCAAGCAUUAUUAAUACACUAUAUUCUGCAUUAUUUUUAUACACUCUACCAAACGAUCCUUAAUUUUACUCAUAUUACAACAGUGUUAAUUUUACACAGUCACAAUAUAAAUAUUCAAACUAUACACAGUUCUUAUACAAUCCUGAUACACAUAUAGUUAUACAGUAAAUGUACACUAAUUUUACUAAUACAGUAAUCAUUACAACUGCGUUGCUAAUUUUACAAAGUUAUAAUAUAAAUAUUCAAAUUAUACACAGUUCUUAUUCAAUCAUGAUACGCAAAUAGUUGUACUGUCAAUGUACACUAAUUGUACGCAUAUAGUAUAAAUAUUCAAACUAUACACAAUUCUUAUACAAUCCUAAUGCACAAAUUGCUAUAUAGUCAAUGCACACUAAUUUUAGUCAUAUAUACAGUGUAAAUAUUCAAACUAUACACAGUUCCUAUACAAUCUUGAUUCUCAAAUAGUUAUGCAUUCAAUGUACACUAAUUUUACUCAUAUUACAACAGUCUUGUUAAUUUUACACAGUCACAAUAUAAAUAUUCAAACUAUACAAGUUCUUAUACAAUUCUGAUACACAAAUAGAUAUACAGUCAACGUACACUAAAUUUCACAAAAAUCACAACCCAAUAUAUUUCAUAUACAACACUGACACAUAUUAUAUACAUCAAUAACGCAUAUAUUUCAUACAUACACAAAUUCUACACAACAAGCGAACAUCUAUCAGACAUAAUUAAUACAUACAAAAGCACAAACAAUGUAUCUCAAAAUCAGUUAAUUUGGGUAUUUUUCUCUUCCAAGGAACUUUUUUACUUUUAUUUUUUGGAUGAUUGAGCAUCAUCUUCUCCGUCAUUUGAUCGAUUCCUUUUUUUGUUUUUUUGGAGGAACAAGAGCAUCUCCUUCACCAGUCACAAUUAUCUUCUCCUUUCCUUUAGAUGACUUAUCAUAAUCUUCAUCAUUUUUUGAAUCAUUGAUUUUUUUGAUCUUUUACGAAUGACAACAAGAUCUGAAUCAUCACUCAGAUCUGUAUGUGCUUUUUUUAGUUGUUUUUUUAUUUAGCCAUUGAUGAAUCAACUACUAAUUUACCUCGAGACCUAGUAAUUCAACUAGGACUAGCAUGAACAUUCUUCAAAUCCUUCAAUUGAACUUCAGGAAUUUAUUAAAUCUUCGAAAUCAUCAUAUGGAGCAACGAAAUUAGGAUCAUAUCUUAUACCUUUACCAGCUAAUUUCAUAUCAGUAUUAACUUUUUCCUUCAUUUUCAGCACAACAAACUUCAGAAAACCUAAUCACAAAGAACAGUCGAAAAAGGUAAGGGGACUGUAGGUACCAGUUAUUACCCUUUUUUGGAAAAAAGACAACUGCUAGCGUGAACUGUAGAUACAAGUUUUUUCUUUUUUUGGGGAAAAUAGCAACUGCAAAGGGCGCGUGUGAUUUUUUUUAUUCUUUAGAGUGUAGUUUAUUAAAAUAGAGGGCGCGUGUGACUUCUUAAAAUAAAGGGCUAAUAAAUAGUAUUAAAAAUAGUCAAAGUGUUACUUUUGUCCAAAAUGGGAAACGUGAGCCAUUAUUGUCCAUUACUUUUUAAAAAAGUUACGUGGUGCCUUUUUCCCAUUAAUUAGAGAAUCUACAAAAGUCCUUUCAUCUUAUCCGUUUUUAUUUAAUUAUUUUUCAUCCACUUUUAUUUUACAUUUUUCUCCUUUUUUGCAUUUUUUCCUACUCCAUCCUAUUAAUUUAUCUUAUGUUAAAUUAAAUAUUAAAAAUCUAAAAACCUCUUAUUUUCCUCCAUAAUCAAUACAUAAAUAUAUAUCUAUAAAGGAGAAUCAAGACAAGGAUGAUGUGACACCUCUUUAUGUCCACCAUUUCUAUUUAUCUUUUUUCUCCUUUUUUUAAUUUUUUCACCAUUUUUGGCAUUGAUCAAUUUGUUUAAUAAAUAAAAAAUUAUUAUAUUUAUUAUAUCCAAUUAUAUCUCAUGAGUUACAAAAAAAACUCCAUCUAUUUACAUUCUCUAUUUAAGUAACAUGUCCCUUCAACUUUCUUCUGUCAAAUUCUUAUAACUUGAACAAUCUAUAUAUAGGCAAUGGUUUACUCAGAAGAUAACAUUGAACUUUGUAGUCAUGAUUAAAAAAACUAAAAAUUGAAUCCAUCAAAUAUAAAUUCUGAAUCCACCUCUUCGUGGUAAUGCACCAUGUUCUUGAGGUCUUAGACUAUGCAAGUAAUCAAGAACAUGUAUAUCACCUCCCUUAGCUUCUAAACAACAAAACUUUACACCUACUAGUUGCAUUUAUUUUUUAUUCAAAUUGUAAAUAUCUCCUUUCACUGGAUUUGGUUAAAAAGUAAAAUCAUAGAGCAAUUAUAUACACAUUUUUCUGUGGAAAUGCUUUUGUCCCCUUUUUUUUUUCAUAUGUGAAUUGUGCUAUAUUUCACUAUUAUUUUGUUAAAGGAAAAAAAGUUUCAUCUCACAUAUCAUAUAAUUAGUUUCCAAAUCUCUAAAAAUUAUUUUUGAAAAUGACAAAUCUAUAUACAUCUAAUGUAUUUCAGAUUUGAUCGAAUCGACUCUCGUAGAACAAAAAUGCAAUAAAACUUUGAGACGUAAAGAGAGAGAGAAAAAAAUUACACGAUAAACAUAAAAAUUGUUCAUCUUGUUCAAUUGGUUUUUCUUUCCAAAGAACAAUAACUUUUCUGUCUUCUCUUCUGCCCAAAGAAUACUUAUUGCUUUUCUGAAUAAUAUUUCACUAUUUGUUUAGAUUCUGAAGGCUUGUUAUAUUCACUAAAAUUAUUUGCAUACAAUUUUGUGAAAAAGGUGGAGCAAACAUCACAACCUUAAACCAGAGAAUCACACAUCUAGUAUUUUUACUUGGAUGAAUCAUUUUGAACGAAGAUGAAAUUGGCAAUGACAAUUGUACCGAUGAUUCCACCAAGAAUAGCAGCGACGUUAGUUAACAAACUCCAUUUUCUGUGUGUCAUCCUUCGAUCUUCUUCUUUCAAAACUCUUUAAUCUCAAUAUCGCCAUAUCAUUUUCCCUUGAAACAGGUCCAUUUGAACCCACUGAAGAUGACAUAAAUAUAAAUUUUACUAUCAAAGAAUAUCCAUGAACACAUGAAUAAAUAUCACAAGAUAAACUUAACUAUAGAUACAAAAUAAGAAAAUAAAAAUAUGACUUCAUUGAACUUGAGUGCAUGAUUAGCGAAUAAUUAUAAAUGUGAAAUAUUCAGUAAAAUUCAAUCAAUUCUAAAUCAUACAAAGUAAAAUGUCCAAUGUUCAAAACCACAUAUAUUGAAAACUUACUAACUUUAAUGUGAAAUAUUCUGUAAAAUUCAAUCAAUUCUAAAUCAUACAAAGUAAAGUGUUCAAUGCUCAAAACCAGAUAUAUUGAAAACUUACUAACUUUAAUUUUUUUCUUUUGCGUUCAACCAUGGCUACAAAGUUCAAUGUUGUCUUCUAAGUAAACCAUUGCCUAUAUAUAGAUUAUUCAAGUCAUAAGAAUUUGAUAGAAGAAAGUUGAAGGGACAUGUUACUUAAAUAGAGAAUGUAAAUGGAUGGAGGCUUUUUUGUAACUCAUGAGAUAUAAUUGAACAUAAUAAAUAUAAUAAUUUUUUAAUUUAUUAACAAAUUGAUCAAUGCAAAGAAAGGUGAAAAAAUUCAAAAAAGGGAGAAAAAGGAUAAAUAAGAAUGGUGGCCAUAGAGAGGUGUCACAUCAUCCUUGUCUUGUUCUUGUCUUGUUUCUCCCUUAUAUAUAUAUAUAUUGAUAGUUAUAUUUUAUCUUUUUAUUUCUCACUUGGUGGAAUUAUAUUGAAUAUGCUAUAUCUUAUAUUUUUUACUCUACUCUAUUUAUAAUGACUCUACUAUCUCACACCUGAUUUUUUUUAUUUAAUGAUAACUAUAUAUAAGUUAACUUUUCAGAUCCAUAUAUAUGAUAUUAUGUAAUAACCAUACAAACAUACUUUUAUAAUCUAUAUCUAUAUUAUAUUAAAAGUGUGAAGGACCUUAGAAAUAAUGUUUGAAUUUUUUACCCUUCAUUAAGAGUUUUUGCUUUAGAUAAAAUCGUCUUUUCACUACUUUUCCUAAUAUAUAAGAGUUGAAAAUUAAUUAAAUAUAUUUAUGGUAAAACCUUUUCUUAUUAGAAUCAUCAGAAUUAAUGACAAGUAAUUCUUUUCCAUUAGUUUAAGAAUUCUAAAUCAACUAAAUUUGAUUUUAAGAAAAUUUAAAAAAUUUAAGAAUAAAUAUAAAAACGUUUGAUAAAAUAUCCGCAAUGGAUAAAAUCAUUUAAUUUUAAAUAAUCAAAUGUUACACGUGUGAGGCACUUGCGGCUAAACUAGUCUCAUGAUAAAACCAAACGACCCCUCAAGUAAAGAAUUAUUGAUCAUUAAGGACAAUUUCAAAAAUGGAUAAGCCGGUAAGUGGAAAUUUUUUUUUUUGGUAAUUAAGAGGCAUUCCAUAGAUAAAUAAACUGGAGUUAACAGUUUGGGAGCUCAAUCAGACUCCAUCACAAAAAUAAGUGGGCGAUUUCCACUGUUUUGAUAAGAAGGGACCUUGUGUAGGUAGCAUUUCCCUUCCAAAUCAGCCCAAACGUCCUGAAUUACAAAGUGGGGAGGGUUUUAAAAACUUUACAACUUUCAAAAUAAUCCAUCUAAGCUACAACCUUAGCCAACGAGUCAACUACUUUGUUUUCUUUCCUGUAACUAUGGUGAACAGGAGGUCUGUCCAAUCUUCUUAUCAAAGACCUGCAAUCAUGAAUAAUUGGGUUAUACAAUAAAUUCCCCUUUUCUAACCAAUUAAUACCCUCCUCAAAGUCCACAUAGACCUCUACAGGGCAUAAGUUGUGCUCCAUUACGAUUUAUAGGCUUUUCUAAGGGUCAUCAAUUUUAUGAGGUUAUUGGAGACAUGGUGGAAACUUUGCAUGAAGCCUAGCACCCAACUGCCCGACCCAUUUCUCACCACCCCACCAAUACCCCCUUUUCCAGGAUUUCCAUACAAUACCCAUCCGUAUUAAGUUUAUAGGCGUUCCUGGGGGGGGGGGUAUCCAGCUUAAGGAAAUAGUGAUUCUUGGGUUCCUAUCGGGAUGCUUGCUUAUGAAAUAGAAUUCCACAGCUUCAGAGUAGGCAUUCCUAAAUAAGGGAGGAUAAUUCCUAUUGUUAAAAGCCUUAUUUUUCCUGGCUUUCCAAAUGUUCCAAAGGCAGAAGGGGAGAAAAAAGGUCCAGUCAACUUUAUUGUCAAAACUAGUAUGGUUUAGGAUUCUCCGGGUGGUAUCCUAAUUGGGAGGGGAAAAGCUAUGAAUAGUGAUGUUGGCCUUUCCCUGGUAGGAGAUCAUGAUGUUUCUCCAGAGAGAAUUGGCCUUGUUAUAUUCAAAGAAGAGGUGUUGAAUGUCUUCUUAGGGAUGAGUGCAGGAGGGGCAUACUGGACUUGUGUUGAUGCCCCUGCUAUGCAAGGUUUUCCUAGUAGGGAGGCUAUUGUGGUUCAAAAUACAAAAGAAGAAUUUUAUCUUCUUCGGAAUGACAGCUUGCCAGAUCUAGCUCCAGGAUCUGUUGUUGUUGUGGAGGGUUACUUUUUAGCAUGGAUGUGGGCAUAGGCACUCUUACAUGAUUAUAUUCCAGACCCAUUUAACAGCCAAGGAGGUGUAUCCGGCUGAAUUGCAUGAUUAGGAAAAAAAGUAUUUUUGAUGAUAUGAAGGAUGUUAGAGAGGAUUUCAAAGGAGAGGGUGUUGAAGUUCCAAUUUUCAUUAUUUCGGAAACUGGUUAGAGAGGUAGAAGUGUUAUGGCCUGGAUAAAGACCCUGGAUAAUGUUCUUGAGAGGAGGAAGGCGGGGAUCCAACAGUUCUCCUAAGCAUCCACCUUAUUGUCAUUGUAGAUAGACCAGCAGGUAGCAUCUCUACAGAGGUUCUAGCCUCUUUGAAUGUUUCUCCAAGUUCUAGAGGUACUGGAGGGGAUGCUGUUUGAAUUCAGGUUAUAUUUAUGAUUCCAGAUAUUAGCCCAAAGGCUUGUGGGAUUAAAGUUCAGUCUCUAAGCAAGACUACUAAGGAGGGUGUCCUUUUUUAGGUAAACUUUUUGUAACCCCAAUCCCCCUUCCUUCUUUGGUCUAGUCAGAGUCUCUCAUUUGACCAUGUUCAUCUUUCUUCUAGAGUCCAAGGAGCCCCAUAUGAAGUUCCUUUGGGACCAAUCAACGAGCUUAUGGAUUUUUCUAGGCAGAAGGAUGAAUUGUAUGAUAUGAUUGGGUAUGCUGCUAAUGCAAGAUUUAGCUAGAGUGGUCCAGGGGGAAAUGGAAAUCAGAAUUAACAGUCUUCUUAGUGAAAGUGGGGAAGCCCAAGUAUUUCUUAAAAGGUAUUGCUGGAUUUGAUGCCUAGGAUGGAGGAGAGGUUUUGCUUAGAAGCUUCACUGCAGUUCCUGGAAAACAAGUCCUUAGAUUUAUUUCUAUUGACCCUUUGACCUGAGUGCUUGCUGAAGCUGUCUAGAGUGCCAAUGAUGGUAUGGCAAUUUUGUACAUUGGUUUUGGCAAAAAGAGUCAGGUCAUCAACAAAGAAUAGGUGUGAAAUUUUGGGUCCCCUGCUGCUUAUAAAAAUGGGGGACCAUUGUAGGAUGUCCACCUCAUAAUUGGUUCUCUUGGAGAGUAAUUCCAUAUAGAGGAUGAAGAGAUAGGGUGACAUAGGGUCCCCUUGUCUUAUCCCUCUGGUAGGUUGGAAGGAGGGAAUUAUAUUUCCAUUCACCAGGAUAAAGAUAGAAGAAGAAGAGAUGCAAGAGAGAAUGCGCUGAGAGAGGCCAAGGGGUAAAUUGAAAAAGGCUAAAACUUGUAUGAUAAAAGACUAUUCAAUUCUAUCAAAGUCCUUUUCUAGAUCAAUUUUCAGGAUCAUGUUGGGAUUAGAGCCCUUCAUUUUCCUGAAGUGAUCUAAGUAUUCCUGGACAAUGAUGACAUUAUCACAGGCUCUCUUUUUAGGCAUAAAAAUGUCUUGGUUAUGCCCAAUGAUGGUGUGAAGGAGGGGUUUUAGUCUAUUGGUAAUAAUUUUGGUGAUGAUCUUAUACUGAGUAUUGCACAGCCCAAUGGGCCUGAAGUUUUUUAAGGAGGUUGCAUUUCUGCAUAUGGGAAUGUGGCAAAGGUAAGUGGUAUUGAAUGUAGGGUUCAUUUUACAUGAGGUGAAGGUUUCUUUACAUAACUCAUGGAUCAGGGGGGCCAUGCUGUCCCAGUAUCUUUUGUACAUGAAGGGAUGCAUCUCAUCAGGGCCAGGAGCUUUGGUAGGGCCAAAGGAGAACACAACCCUUUUAAUCUCAUCAAGGUUAGGAAUGGAACCAAGUAAAGAGUGGGAAGAAAGAUUAAGGGAACCCUAGGUAGAGGGAUUUGUUUGAACUCUGAGGGGAGAGUAGGUGUGCUCAAAGAAAUAGAGUUUUGUAGAAAGAGGUGAUUGCAUUAGAGAUCUCAGAGGGUUCAAAGAUCCAAUAUCCAUUGUCUUAGAUAGAGUUGAUUCUAUUUCUUUUUCUCCUAUUCAGAGUGGAAGUGUGAAAGAAUCUUGUAUUCCUAUCCCCCUCAAUAAGCCGGUUGAUCCUGGAUUUGUGUUUCUAGAACUCAUUUUCCUGGUCAAACAAGUAAUUAAAAUCCUUGGUAAGAGAGGCUUCUAGGUUUUGGAGAAAGGGGAUGGUGGGGUAGUGAAUGAAUUUUUGAAUACCUACUAACUUGGCAAGUAUCUGCUUUUUGGUUUUGAAGAUGUUGCCAAAGGUUUCUUUAUUCUAGGUUCUUGCUAUGUCAACAAAGAGGAGGGUUGCAUUAGUGAGGUCAUCUCCCUUAGGGANNNNNNNNNNNNNNNNNNNNNNNNNNNNNNNNNNNNNNNNGGAAAGAGUUGAGGAUGAGAUUGUUGAAAUCAGGAUGGUUGCACCACAUGAAUUCCACCCUGAAGGAUCUAGAAAGGGAUUAAGGAGUUCUACUGAGGCUUAGAAGGAGAGGGGAGUGGUCAGAGUGGAUUCUAAGAAGGUGGGUGACAGAGGCCUCAGGAUAUAGGUGGACCCAAUGGUCAUUAACUAAACACCUCUCUAGUCUUUCUAAGAUGGGGCCUUGUUUGUUUCUAUAUCUCAUAUUGGACCAGGUAAAUUUACUGCCAAUGAAGCCCAGGUCAAUGAGAUUGAACUUGUUGAUGCAAUCCCAGAACAAGGAGGACAUGUUAAUAUUUAUGGGGUUGCCUCCAGAUUUUUCACUAGCCCUUAAGAUCUUAUUAAGAUCCCCCCACUACCCAGCUGUUGAUGCCCAUGUAGGGCAAAGAAUUGGGAAGAGAGAUAAGUUGGUCCCACAGAAGUUUUCUAUUAUUAAAAUCAAUACUAGCAUAUACAAUGCUAAGGAUCUAGCGAGAGUUUUGAGAUUUUACCUUAACAAAGGCAUAAAUAGCCUGAGGGGAUAUGGAGAGGCUGGUGAUGGAGAUAUUGUCCUCUUUCCACAUAAUUAUUAUGCCCCCUGAGUUUCAACUAGCACUGAACUCAAUGUAGUUGUGGUAACCAAGGUUAUUAGAGACAUUUUUAUGAUCCACCAUCUUGGCUUCAAGAAGGGCCAAGAUGCAGGGGUGGUAGAUACUAAUCAUGGAUUUACAUUGCUUCAUGAAUUCUACUCUAUUGGCUCCCCUAAAAUUCCAGAUCAAACAACUCUUUAUCAUAGUUUUGUGGAGUUGAUGGAAGCCUUGCAGUAUCUCUUUCCCCUUUUCUAAUGAGUUGGAGAGGGCAUGCAUCUCUAGGCUCUUCCUUUUCUUCGAUAGAGGAGACAUUUUUGUAGUGAAAUACUCCCCUAUCAUAAGGUUUGGCACAUUUAGCUUUAGGCCUAAUUUUGUCAAUGGAUGAGGUAAGAGAACAAUGACCAUCUCGUGUAUGAGGUCUAUGAACGCUAUAUUUACAGGUCUUUCUAGCGUGAAGACAUCCAUUUUGGGGAUUCUCAGUUGUGCUAAAAGGCCUUCUAGUUUUCUAUUUCCUUCCCUCAGGGCUUCUAUGGUUUUUACUCUUUCUAGCCUCUCUAGUGACAUGGGAGAUGGGGGUGGGGUGGGGGUGGGGGUCGUUAUUGAGACUGAGAGAGGUUGGCUCCCCCCAGGAAAGCUCACAAAAGUUGGGCCCUGUGCCAACAGAAGGGAAUUUGAGAGUUAGAAGAAGGGGAGGCUGACACUUAUCUGAUUCAUCAUGGAUGAUAGGUUUUCUGGGGUCAGUUCCAGUUGAAAGGUUGACCCUAUUACAUAGAACAGGGUUUCCAUCCACAUAUAUUGUCCAUAGUUGGACAGACCCUGACGUAGGCAUUCUAUGACUAGGAGCGCCAGGUAUCUGCGAUCCUGGAUGAGUAAAGUGACCUGCCUCCUCUCCCAUUGCACGUGUAGUGGUACAGUUUGGCUCAUAAGGCAGACCUCCAACCAAGAAGUUAGGAGGUGGUCUAUUAGAAGCGUUUCCGUGAUCAGUGUGAUCAUAUCAAAGCUUUGUGGUGGAUUCAUCACUAUCCUUUUUUGAAGAAUGGGAAGUAGCCAUGUUGCUGGAUUGAGAUAUAGUAAGAGAGGGAGUUGAAGAGGCCUCAACCUUGGUAUUGACAUUAGCAUUAAAUGCAAUGUCUGCGUAAUGGACAGAGUCCAUCAAAUCACCCUUCGAAUCGAAAAGGUUUCUGACGGGCGUGGGGGGAUUUUUAGCUGCAGGCUCAUGAUUGUCUGAGCUGAGCUGGCUCUGAUAGGCCCAUAAAUCUUUUUUUAAUUUUUAAUUCAACUAAGGAAUGGGUACUGUUUAAAUUAGAAAUAGAAUAAGAAGGCCCCUAUUUCCCUAAAGUGGGCCUGUUCGAGUUGACAGGGGUAUUGGGUCUCGAAAGAGAGGAGGCCUUAAGUUCUUCAUCAUACUUGGCCUACUCCAUAGGGGUAUCCACUUGGUAAUUGGAUACCGAAUUUGGGCCUGGCCCAAUUUUUUCUAUAGAUGGGGGGUCUGGCAGUUGGCCCAAUUUUGCUUUGCCCUAGGAGGGCCCAGAAGUGUUAGGCUGCCCUAACCUUUCGCCUUCGCCAUAGUGUCGGGAAGUCAGAAACUUACCUACCGUUGUUCCUCUAGCCUUGUCGAAGUUUUGGUUUGGAGCUGGGUCGUCUGAGGGAACCCGGUUUCUCUGUUUGUUUUUCUGGAAGGACACUGUGUGCCAUUCCCCUUUUGGUGUAGACGUUUUAUCCGGUGAUGGGUUUUCUUGGACGGGCGGGUCUUGUUGGUCGUGGAAACUAGUGGUUGUGUGACAUAAUUGACCACAUGAAGUGCAGAGGAUCCCCUCUCCUUCGUAUACUAUCUCUUGAUAGUGUCCUAUGUUGAUUGAGGUCAAUACGGGUAUGCCCAAUUGGAUUUGAAUGCAUAAUCGGGCAUAACGACCUCGUAGGGUAGUCGAUGUACAUGCAUUGAUCUUUAGAAGCCUCCCAAUACUUAUUUCCACCCUUUGUAGGAUUUGGGAGUCGUAGAACUCAGUGGGGAGUUGUGGUAGGCGUAGCUAGAUUGCGGUUGAUUCGAUCUGUGCACAGCUCGACACAAAAUUCGGCUCCCAUUUCCUUACUGAAAUGAAUGUUCCGGUGAUAAACCAUGGUCCUCCUUGGAGGGAUUCUGCUUGACUCUCUGUGUCUUUGAAUUUUACAGUACAGAAGCCCGAUACCAAAUCAAUGAGGCAUAGGGGGCGUAAGGGCUUCCACAGAGCCUCUAAUUUGAUUUUGAGGUACUGGCGAGCAAAAUUCUUCCGCAACGGUUUGAUGAUUACGGAUAAUUUCCAAGGAUCGUAGAGGCGAGCCUUCUUUUCCAUUGAGAGGUUGAUUAGAUCCAAUUCCAAGAGGUCAUCGUCCUCUUCGAAAUUUGCUGAAUUGCUAGGGGAGGGUAGUUGAUUGGUGAUGACGUCCUUGUAGGUUGGGUUAUUUUCCUGCAUUGGAACAUCGUUGGUAGGGAAGUUGGGUAUCGAAAGAGAAUAGAGAGUCGACAUCAGGGUCGAUAGGUCAAUAGGAAUGGAAGCAAGUUAGAGAGAAGCAGGACAUUCUCUCUCUAACCCAUCUCUUUAAUACAAUACUUUGGUAAGUGGUAAUUAAUAUAACGUCUCAUUAGCAAUAUGAAACUCUGCUUUACCAACCUAGCUAAUUUAUUGAUACCUAGUACAUAUGGUGUUGGUUUGCUGUUAUAGAAAUCUGAAUAAAUACCAUGGCGUUUGAUCACUAUAUUAUAUUUUGUACAUCUAUAUUUAACUUUUCAUUUAAUGAGAUUUUUAAGUAUUUUACUUUUUCUUGGAGAAUAAUUUAAAAUAAUUAGAAGGAAAAUAGUGAAAAAUAGCCUACAAUUUAUAGUCUUAAAUUUAUCUUUUCAUAAAGAGUUGUGUCGUACUUCAAAAAUUCACUUAAUAUGAAAUGAAGGGAGCAUUAUUUUUGGAGUCAACAUGCAGUAUCAAUAUAUUUUCUUUUAAGAAAUCGAACACCAUAUAUAGGGUUAAAGUCAAGACUAAUGAAGAAGAGGCAUUAAUAUCAAGCCCAAAAGUUGAACAAGAAUUAGAAAAUUACACAAAAUAAUGACACAGUACAAGGGAACUUGUUUGUAAAAGAAAAAAAUCAAGAUGACAAGAAGAAAGGAACCAAAAACUGCAUUAAACAACAACAAAAAACCCAUUGUAUUCCAUCAUAGUGGGGUCUGGGGAGGGUAAAAUGUACGCAGUCCAUACCACUACCUCCAAAGAAGUAGAAAAGUUGUUUCAGAACAGUACACAAAUUAAAGUCGUAAUAAAAACAUGAAGCAAUAUGGAAUAAAAAUAAGAAAUAAGACACCCACAAAGUAAUACCAUAACACUAACAAACCAACAAAUCAAAAAUGCCCACCACACCCAAACUCUCCUAACUAGCAGCUCCAACCUAUGGACACAACCCUAAGACUACUAGCCUAGCUACACCAAAGCUCUCCUAACAACCGGCUACGACUCACCCACACGCACUAACCUUCUAACCUAAUUCACGUCGUCCAAACCUUACUGUAUAAGGUCAUGUUCUCAGUAAGCAAGAAUGUUGUGAAAUGUGUUCCUUUCUUAUUAUUUUGUGUUAAAUCUGGUACUAUAUUGAAGAAGGGAAUGUCAAGCCUGAAGAUUGAAAUUUCUCCAACGUUAUGUCAUCAAUUGCUUUUGCCAUAUCCUUGGUCAAAUAAUUCUUCCAAUCGCCAAUUUUUCCUUUUCGAAAAAACAUACUGUUGUGAAGUCCCUGAGUUUCUGGCCGAUGCAAGCUGCUUUUGUUCACCUCUAAAUUGCUCAAGCUUUUGAAAUUACAGCGUGCCACGAUUUCUUCAGGCACACCUCAUGUUUCUUCUUCCAUAGAGAAAGGUCUCUUCAUGAAGUCCGCCAAUUUUUCACAUAGUACAAUGUGUCCUUCUUCAAAUCUUCAUACUUCAAGAACAAUACUUUUUCAGGUCUCUCAACAUCAUGACUUGCUUCCCAAUAUCCCAACACGUGAUUUCCGUAAGGUCCAUAAGUUGCUUUGCCUUCACAAAACCCCUUGAAUUGGUGUAAGAAUAUUUGCUACUGAUUCAUAUUGAUCAAAUAGCUUUUGAUUGAAUCUCCACAAAGAAACAAAGGUAUCUUUGGGUUCUCUAUAUAUAUAAAUGAUCUUGCAAUUGGAUUCUAGUAUGGAUGGUGGUAAUUGAGUGUAAGGAACAUGUGUGGAUAAUAAUGGUAACUCUGUGUCUAUAAAUUUAGGGUUGGAGAUAAAAUCAACUUCCAAAAAGGGUAGGCAAUCAUGGGGUACCUUAUUGAGUAAAGGGUUAUUUGUAGAGUCGUCAUCAUGAAAAUAUGCCUAGUCAUAAUGGAAAAGGUUAAAGCUUUAAGCCAAGUGGUGCUUGUUUUCAUAGUACUGCAAAGGAAAAUAUCAGAGGGCUGAGCCUUGAAGUUUUCUUGCAUAUAUAAAAUUACUUGGAAGCAUUCAUAACUAGGAUAGGAAGGCUCUAGUUUGGGGAGGGUUGAUAUUAUAUCUUUGUAUUUUUCACACAUUUUCUUAAAAUUUUCUGAUCCAUAAUUUACGGAUAAACGACUAGAUUUGCAAGGAAAAAAAUUAGAAAACUUCUCUAUUGAUAUGAAGGAGAGUUUUGGUAGUAUAUAUAUGGCAAAAUGGUUCAGUGGACCCUUGUACUAUGUCCGUCAUCUCGAUCCUUGAACUCACUAAAAAAUAACAUUUUAAAUACUUUUUCGGUGAGUGUAACACACUCGCCCCACGUCAGCUGCCAUGUCAUCUUCCAUUUCUUCUUACUUUUUGCUGUUCUUCAUUCUCCAUUUUUUCUUCUUUUUCUUAUUCUUCUCCCUCCUCUUCUCCUUCUUUAAUAGAAUGAGUAAAUGUUUUUUAAUGAGUUCAGGGGUGCAAAUGACAAACAUUGAAUACUUUUAAUAAAUAAAAGUAUUCACAUUACAAAACAGACAUAGUACAAGGGUCCAUUAAACUAUUUUGCCUAUAUAUAUAUAUAUAUUGCAUGCAAGUCCUUUGCUCAUUCAUGGUUCUACAGUAUAUCAUUAAUAAUCCUAUCUCUACCACUCUAUCUACACACCACAUAUUCAUACACCCUUUUAUCUUGUUGCUUUCAUUGCCAACAAGGCUUCUAUAAUAUCAGGAUAAAAGCAAAGGACCCACCCUCAAGUAUUGAAUUAUUGAUUCCAAAAAUGAAUUGGACCAGUGCGGCAGGCCGAUGACCAAUUUAACAGCUAAUUGAUGGAUUUCUAAUUUAUUGUUUGGUUUUAUGUUAUACAACUCUGAAUAAUUACCGUGGUGUUUGAAUCACUGUAUUAGAUGUUUGGUUCUAGAUUAAAAGUGUGAAUAGAAAAUGGAGGGAAUUAAGUGGAGGAAAAAAUUGAGAUACUAAUACUUAAAAAGGAAAGUGUAGUAAAAAAUAAGAAAAGUCUACUAAUUCUCCACAUUGGUGGGAGAAUGAAACUUUUAUGUGUUUAUAUUAAGAAACACAAACUCCACAUGAUAAAUGGGCAAGAACUAAAAGGUGCCUCGCGCUGCCGUUGUUGUUGCUUGGCUUCGACUACGCACUAGUGUUUUGUUCCUCUUUCGAAUGGACAUACAUGACUAUUCAAAAAAGAUACACCUUUUCGAUGAAUCAUUUUCUCCUUUCCGAAGAGGCAUUUUAUGGAUAUAUAAACCUGUAUUUUUUCACAGGUUUGGCACAAAAUUUUCAAAUAUUAAACAAUAUUGAAGCUAUUUUAUUUUUUCAAAUAUUAAACAAAAGAGAAAAAUUGAAAAUGGAAUCAAGAGGAGCGCUCUUCUAACUAAAACUUAGUUACUUAUUAAACUCUCCAAAAAUAUUAGGGAAAUUUACGUAAAUCCCGACAAGUUUACUCAUAUUUAUAUCUUAUCUUGAUUUUUUUCAAAAUCUCUUAAAAUUUUAUUUUUUUGAUUUGCAGAAACAUAUAAAUUAAGUGAGAUACAAGUUAAUGAUACAUCUUAUUAUUUAACUGAUUAGCUUAAAUUAAGGGAUGUAACAGUUAUUGAAAUAUUUAAUUAGCAAUUAACUCAUCCAAUCAUCUAAUUAACUAAAAAAAAUCCUUUAAAAGACAGUGUAUUGUUAUCAAUUAAAUUUUUUUUACAUAUUCAUCUCCAUAAUCAAUAUGCAGAUUCAUUCUUAUUCUUCUCUUUUUUUUUUUUCGUGCUAUUGAUUCGUUCUUCAUCUUUUUUUUAAAAAAAAAUGAUUUUCACUAAAGUUAUGUAUUUAUUUUUUAUUUUUUUCAAUCAAAUUUAAUUACUGUUGUGACACAAUAUUUUUAUUUUUCAAUGUUAGGAAGCAUAUCGCCAAUUUUGUACGGUGUUGUUGACACAGAAAAAUGACAUAACAUUCACAUAAUACUACUUUUAUCUCUUAUAAGAGAUAUACAAUAUUUUGAAACAUACAUGUAUCUACAGUAAUAUCUACAUUUUCAUAUGUAAGAGAUACAUACUAAACAUAUAAGAACCUUAAAUGUAUCACUUCUUGUAAUAUAACAUGUAUCUCUCUUAUGCAUUUUUCACCCUAAAUAAAACAAUACGAGAGAUACAUACUUAUACAAUGUUAGAUACUCAGAGAUACAAUAUAAAAAAAAAAUAAGACGUAAUCAAAUAUGUAUCUCGGACUAAAAUAUAGACAAUUAACAAAUAUUAAAUACCUUUAGAAAGGCAUCUGUAGUUGUAGCUUCAACAACUCUUCUUCUUUUUGCACAAAUUAUACCUCCUGAACUGGUAGAUCCUCUUUUCGUAGAAGCACCCAUUACUAAACCUUUAAUAAAACACUGAUACAAUGUUGGAUUGGAUUUUGAAUAAACUCACAAAGAAGAUCAUUCAAACAUUGGAGACUAUACGAAGAUAAUCCCUUGAUUUCGAAAUUGUUUGAACAUAUAUCUACUUGAUGGAGUUCACCUAUUACCUAUAACAAGAAUUCCUUUUGAGGGCACUCUCGAGUAUCAAGUAUGGACGUAAGUGCAGGACUCUCCUAUGCCCCCAUUCAGUAGAAAGAACAGUUUAAGAGUUGUUUCGAAUUAACUGAUGCAGGUUUAAUUUUUUGAAGUUUACAACUUUUAAACACAGGUUUAACAAAUUAAAUUAGAGAAAAAAAUAAAGAUGGAAACUACCGUUUAGCAAUUGUUCAACACUAAUAAGAUGUUAAUGAAGUUGAAAUUGGGGACAACGACUAAAAUUUAAAAACAAUGCAAAACUUAGAAUAUCUGUGCAGUUGUUGGAGCAGAUCCAGCUUCAGAUAGUUGUAGCCGUGAAAAUAGGGUAUAUAAUGGAUGUAUCGGGUGUUUUGAGUGGAAGGAGGAAAAAAAGGAAUUUUUGUAAUUUUAAUACAUGAUAUCCCUUUGUUUCGUAUUAGUUGGCCCAUAUGGACUUGGCACACCUGUCACACCCCUUUUUCACUCGAGGUUCAAAUGGAAAGAUUUUUUCAAUUAAAGUGACGAUAUUGAAUAUGGAUUAUUUUCUUUACAGAGUCGCCACUUGAAAUUGAGUUAUGGUGUUUCAAGUCACCUUUUUGAAUCCCUAGUUAAAAGAAAAUGACUCUUAUUUGGUCUGCAAAAACAGAAGAUUGGGUGAGGAAUCUCGUGGUUCUAGUACGGUCGCUUUAUUGACUUUUACUUAACUAAAACUAUUUUUUAUAAAUUAUGUUAAGGCCUAAAAUUACUCAUUUUUUAUCAUACCGAAAACUUGUCUAUUAUCUUAUAUUUAAAUAAAUCAAUGAAAAUUAAUUUUAGAAAAAUAUUUGUCGAGGUGCAUUAUUGCAUCCUUGAAUUAUUUUUAAAUGUCUCAAAAAGAUGAGUACGCGCAUUCUUAAUUGAGACGAAAAUUUUAAACGUGCCUAAAAUUUGUCUAAUGUUAAAGGCUUACCUACUCGAAAUAGCAUCUAACUUUAACAAUAAAUUUGAGCAAAAUUCAUUUUAAGAUGAUCAAUUAAUUUAAUAAAUAAAUAAUUAUUAAACUUCAUUAAUGAUAAUAAAAUAAUAUAAUAGUAAAAAUAAUAAAUGAUAAAAAUAUACAAAAAUUACUCUUAUUAUACUAAAUUUUAUUAUGACCCCAUUUAUUCUUUUAAAUUAAUACAAAUUCAAAAACCACUUAAAAAUAAUUCUUUUCUUUAAUAUAUUUAUAUAAUGAUUAAAAAAUAAUUUUUAAACAACCAAAAAUUGGACAGUUUUUAAAUAUUGUGCAGAAUAAACAUCAAACUAACUAAAAAAAUGUUAGACUGCUUUUUUUUUUUUGAAAUCCGGCAAUCACAGCGGCUGUAAGGUUAGCCGGUCGGAGAGGGAGGGGAAGGAGGAAGAGGAAAAAAGGGGAGAGGUAAGUGGUAGCACUGGUUUUAAACGUUUUUCAACAUGGGAUUCGCCGGUGAGGGCUGUUAGACGCCGAAAAAAGGAAAGAAGGGUGGCGAAGGUGAUUCUAGUGGCAGUUCACCAUUUUUCGGUGAGAGAUCUGGCGGAUAUGGUCAAUUUGUGGUGGUUUUGGACGGAAUGUGUAAUGACCCUUACGAUGUAUUUUUUAUAUAAUUUUAGUAUUAUCUAAAUUUAUCGUGGAUUAUAUAAUUUAAUUUGGCAUUUGAUAGAAAUAUAAUUUAGUAUCCUUAUAGAAUAUAUUUGAUACUGAUAAAAUUCUUUAAGCGAUGAUAUAUUUAUAUUAUUUUAUAAUAGAAUUUUAUGAUUUAUUAAUAUUUUAAGCGGAGAUAAUAAAUUUAGAAAUGUUAAAAUAUUAUUUUUAUACAAUACAGGUUUUAUUAGAAAUAAUUUUCUCUAAUAAUUUUUUAUUAAUUAUGAUAUAUUCAAAAUAUUACAAUUUAUGCAAUAUCCAAAUAUAUACGUGAUGUAGAAAGCUAUUACUUAUGGCGAAUUAUCACCACACGUGGGAAAAAAUUCUUGACAUAACAUGGUGUUAGCUUGGCAGCCAUACACUUGCCAUUUGAAAAAGGUCUUUACCUGUUUUAUAUAUAUAUUCACACUUAUGUAUUGACACAACCAUUAGUAGUGGUAUUAUGAAAUAGAUAUUUCUUUUUCAAAAGGCAACCGAAGUGCUUUUAUGCAUGUACUGCUCGUUUAUAUGUAAUCUGUAGCCAAGGUUUUGGGCGAAAAUAUUUUGAAACCAUUGGAACAUCAAGCAAAAAUAUAAGUUAAUUAUUCGAAUCAAUUAUUCAAAUUCGGAUUUUAGCGUGAUAUUAUUCGGAGGUUUCGGGGCAGAUAUUCUAGCUUUGGCGUUUAGGUAGGUUAGGUUUACCCUACUUUUAGAUUGAGCUUAUAUACCGAAAUUGUGAACUAUUAUGCUAGCGUUGAAUAAAUACUUAUAGAUGCAUAUUAUUUGAUUUAUAUAAAUUGUCUUAUUUAUCCGGAUUAAGGCCUCGUUCUAGUAAAUAUUUAAAUAUUAUCUUUUAACAUAAUAUAGCAUCUAUUACUUUAAAACAUGAAGUUAAAAUGCAAAAAUCUUGAAUUUAUCCCUUUUUAAUUAAGAUUAAUAAAUGAUUAUUUAGACAUUUAUAUUGUUAUGAUAUGGAUUUUAAUAUUAUCGGUGGACUAUGAUUACUAUGAGUUCUGAUUCGAGUCCGGCAAUUGACUAUUAUGAUUACUAUGAGUUCCGGUUCGAGUCCGGCUUCUGAUUAUAGUUGGGGUUACUCUGAGUUUCGGUUCGAGUCCAGCAUCUGAUUAUUUAUGUUUACUUUCACCACUUGUGUGUCCCACCGGCUUAUGGGGGUACGGUUGGAUUAAUUGUCUUCUUCAGUGUGUCUAGUUCAGUGUGUCUAGCGGGCUUAUUGGGGCUCAGUUAGGCUAUGUUUGAUUUAUUUGUUAUUACUACAUUAUUAUUUUUUUGUAUUGCACAAGUUUAUUCCUUUACAGCCGUUGCAUAGCUUGGUAGUUGUUUACUUUUCCAUCCCUACUUACUAAUGACUCAGAUUAUGCCCUCGCAUUGUAGUUAUACCUUUUCUGUAUUAAGCUCAGUCGGCCGAUGAUGCUUACUGAGUACCUGUAGUUUUUGGUACUCAUACUACACUUCUGCAUCUUUUUCCUGAUGCAGAUCUAGGUACUAACCGUCGGCGUUGACGCGGUUCCUACCUUUCAGUGCUGGUUUAGAGCAGGGUGAGCUUACUGUCGUCCGAGGCUACUCUAGUUAGUCUUUUUCACUCGAGACUACUUGUGUACAUUUUAGAUUUUUGUCUAGUACUCUGGGUACCUGUUAGUAGUGGCUCUAAUACUGACUUUAUCAGGUCUUGGGAGAGAUUCAUUUUUAUAGUUGGUCCUUUUUUCUCCUCUCGUUUUUUAUAUAAUACAUAUGCUUUCUUCUUAGUUUUCACUUAUUAUUGAGGUUGUUAUUAUCAUAUGCGAUCUUUUAUUUUAUCUCUGCCUAAUAGCCCAUUACCUAUCAUUCCGGGCUAUGGUUUGGCUUGCCUACUGGUGGGAUAAGGUAGGCGCCAUCACGAUUUGAGAAAUCGGGUCGUGACAAAAUGAUGGAUUACCGGCGAGUUUUCACCGGAAUUGACCUUUACGGGUUGGAUUUGUGGGUUUCCCGAUAGUUUUCGGCGACAGAGUUUUCCGGCGACUUCUUGUCGGAAAAACGAACUCCCCAUUCGAUUUUUUCAUUCUUUCUCUCUCUCUAUUAUUUAUUCCCCGAUUCUCUAUGUGUUUUCACUAUUUUUCAUAUUCUGUACUUCGUGUGUGUGUGUAGAUGUUCAUCCCAAAACAAAAAUGGAGGUUGUGUGUGCUGUGUAAAAAAAAUGAAAGUGUAUAUUUGUAAAUUGGUCUCUGUGAAUAUGUGUUGCUAUUUGCAAGUUUCCCCUCUGUAUUAUGUUACCAAAUGUUCUCACUGUGCAUGUAUGUUCAUUUUUAUUUUUCUACUUUUUCUUUUUUAUUUCUUUUCUUGAUUUGAUAAUUUUAACACACAACAUUUAAACAUCCAACAUAUCUACAUACAAAUACAUUAAGCAUUCUGUAACUUGAUUAUGUAACGUGCAACAAUAUAAAAUUUGCAUAAUCAAUUAAUUAUAUAUACUGCUUGAGACCAGUUGAAUAUUCCAUUCAUACUUUUCACAGGAGAUUUACAACAUUAACAGAAAUAAGAUCAUAAUAGAACCUGUAUGCCAACUUAAUUGAAUACAAAAGCAAGAGGUUAUCACCGAAAACUUCAACUUUAACUUUCUCCUUUUCUCUCUUUUGUUUGAUAUUUCGUUUUUCUGAUUUUUCACUCUUUCUCAAUCCUUCUCUCUGAUUUAUUUUAUCAGACACUGAUGUUUUCUUUCUGAACAGUGUAGGCAGAAAACAGUACGUAUGUUUUUUCUCUGGGUUGUCUGGGGUAAGAAGAGUCCUUAAAUAGGAAAAAAUUGGGGGGAACAGUUACAUAAGAUAAGGGAGGGGGUUUAAAUUUUAAUUUUUUUUUAUAAAUAAUAAUAAUAAUAAUAAUAAUAAUAAUAAUAAUAAUAAGUACGUAUGUUUUUUCUCUGGGUUGUCUGGGGUAAGAAGAGUCCUUAAAUAGGAAAAAAUUGGGGGGAACAGUUACAUAAGAUAAGGGAGGGGGUUUAAAUUUUAAUUUUUUUUUAUAAAUAAUAAUAAUAAUAAUAAUAAUAAUAAUAAUAAUAAUAAAAAUAAAAAAUAAAAUAAUAAAUAUAAUAAUAACUAAUUAAUUUUUAUAUUUAAGAAAAUACAAUAACAGUUUAAAUAACCAAAAAUAAAUAUAAUUAAGAUAGUACUAAAAAUACUAGCUUAUUUAUUUAAAAUUUAUAAAGAAAAAAAUAUAUUUUAAAUUUUGAAUUAUUUUUAAAAUAAAAAUAAAAUAUCCCAAAAAAUAACUUUAUUUAUUUAUUUAUGGCAAAAUGGUUCGGUGAACCCCUGUACUAUGUUAGUUUUGUAAGUUGGACACUUCUACUGACAUGUUUGUCAUCUAGAUCCUUGAACCCAUUAAAACACAACAUUUUAAAUACUUUUUUGGUGAGUGUAACACACUCUCCUCACGUCAGCUGUCACGCCUGUCACGUCAUCUGCCACAUCAUUUUCAAGUAUUACAUUAAAUUCCAAAUCAUUUUUAAAAUACUACAUAAUAAAUUAAAUAUUAAAAUUAAUUUAUUUAAAUAAGAAAAUUUUAUAAAUUGUAGAAAAAUUUGAAUAAUAAUAUUUUUAUUUUUUCUCGCAAAUUAAACAUCAAAUUCAUUCUAAAUAAUUAAAAUUCAUCUCCAACUAAUUUAAAUUUUUAACUAUAAAUUCAUAUAUACAUAAAUAAUGAAUUUUCAAUUUUUAAAUUUGAUUAUCUUUCACAAAUUCUCACAAAGUUUAAUUUUUUCAAGCGAAAUUCACUAGUUUUUUUUCAAUAUCUACUAUCACUUACUUUCAAUUCAAAUUUAAAUUUUAAUAUCCCCUAAAAUAAAAAUAUUUCUAAUUUUAAUUUUAAUUUUAAAAAAAAUAAAAAGAUUUGAAUUGAGAUGAAAAAUUAAAAUAAAAAAUGAAGGUGGUGCGGGGGNNNNNNNNNNNNNNNNNNNNNNNNNNNNNNNNNNNNNNNNNNNNNNNNNNNNNNNNNNNNNNNNNNNNNNNNNNNNNNNNNNNNNNNNNNNNNNNNNNNNNNNNNNNNNNNNNNNNNNNNNNNNNNNNNNNNNNNNNNGGGCGCGGGGAGGGGGCUGAAUGAGGGUGAAGGGUGGGGUGGGCUGGAUGGGAGGGUACUUGGGAGGGGGCUUUUUUAUUUUAUUUUUAAAAUUUAUUAUUUUUAAAUUUUAAAAUAUAUUUUUAAAUUAAAAAAGAUAGAGUGUAAAAAAGAUCCCUUUUUAUUUUUUUUAAUUUUAAUAUUAUUUUUAAAUUAUUUUAAUAUAAAGUUAACCAAAAAUUGACCCCACACUCACCCUAAGCGCGUAUGCACGCGCCUCAUCCUAGUCAGCCAUUUUAAUGCCACAUAGGACCGGUCAACGGUCAAAGAGUAUAAAAUAUUGCUUUUUAAUGGGUUCAAGGGUCGAGAUGACAAACAUGUAAGUAGGAGUAUCCACAUUAUAAAACGGACAUAGUACAAGGGUCCACUGAACCAUUUUGCCUUUCUUUAUUUUUAACUUAAAAUUUAUUUAAAAUGACCCCUUUUUGUGUGAAACCUCAAAGAGUUUUCAUACAAAAAAGUAGACAAGGAGAUGAUUAUAUAUUAAACUCGAGGAGGAUAAAAAAUUACGUGUCUACAUUUUUCCCCUUUUUGUGUGAAACCUCAAAGAGUUUUCAUACAAAAAAGUAGACAAGGAGAUGAUUUUUGAUCCUCCAAUUAUUCAAAAAGUAAGGAUAAAAUAAAAUUAAAAAAAAGAUGUGACCGAGUCCUAGUUUUGCACCGUCUACAUAUCUCGAAUUAUAAAGGAAUCAGGUCACGUGUAGUUCAAAGGUAAAAUGGUGAGAGAAAGAGUUAGAGGUCGAGUGAGGUUCCGUCGAGUUUCCGGUUCACGACUUUUGUUUUUUACAUCCAAAUGACUAACAAAAAAUAAAAUAAAAUAAAGAUACAAGUGAAAGAUCAUAUUUGUGCUGCUUUUCUGGAAUCUUGACUUGAAUCUUCGUAACUUCUCAAAGGGUGAGAUAGUCGUUAUUCUGAGUUGAACUUGACACACGAAAUAUUUCUUCUCGUUGGCUUUUGGCAUUAGAGAGGAACUUGAUAAUUGAUUUAUUCUUCAAAUUUUCCUCUGACUUGAACUUGACAAUCUUAACCCUAUUCUUCAGGCGGGCUCCUGAACUUGCAACUGAUAAUGUUCACCCUAUUCUUCAGGCGAGUUCUUGAUCUGCUAUUUUUUCACCCUGUUCUUCAGAUGGGCUCCUGACUUGCUAUUUCUUCACUCUGUUCUUCAGACGGGCUUCUGAGCUCAAAGAAAAUAGUGAAACAGAAAAAAACAUCCCAUUCUUCAGAAGGGUCCUGUGUAUAAAAUAAAUUUCCAUUCUUUAGGAAGGUCCUGUGCAUAAAAUAAAUUUUCAAUCUUCAGGAGGGUCCUGGACAAAAAAUAAAUUUCCAUUCUUUCGGAGGGCCCUAUCCUAUUCUUCAGGAGGGUCCUUAACAAAAAAUAAAUUCUCAUUCUUCAGGAGGUUCCCAAGCAAAAAUAAAUUUUCAUUCUUCAGGAGAGUCUUGUCCCACUCUUUAGUAGGGUCCUGAGCAAUUAAUUUUUUAUUCUUCAGGAAGGUCCUGUUCCAUUCUUAAGGAGGGUCAUGAGCAAAAAAUAAAUUUUCAUUCUUCCGGAGAGUCCUGAGAAAUAUUAAAUUACCAUUCUUCAGGAGGGUCCUGAGGGAAAAAUAAAUUCUCAUAUUUCAGGAGGUACUUGUCCCAUUCUUCAGAGGGUUCCUAAGCAAAAAAUAAAUACCCAUUUUUUAGGAGGGUCUUGAACAAAAACUAAAUUCUCAUUCUUCAGGAGGGUCCUGAACAAAAAUAAAUUCCCAUUCUUCAGGAGGAUCCUGAGCAAAAAAUAAAUUUCCAUUCUUCAGGAGGGUCCUGAGCAUAAAAUAAAUUUCCAUUCUUCAGAAGGGUCCUAUCCCAUUCUUCAGGAGGGUCCUGACCAAAAAAUAAAUUCUCAUUCUUCAAGAGGGUCCUUUCCCAUAAACACGAACAAAAUUUUUGCCCUAGUUUACAUUAAAAAAAUUUGUGAGUGUAAUCAGAUCAAAACUUUCAAAAAGUACAGUAAAAAGGGUGAAUUAAGCUCCUGCUAAAGAAAUGUGUCUCUUUGGAGUAAAACUGAUGACCAAAUUAGGAAGUGCGUCUUCUAACACAUGAAACUUAAAUUACCCAGACAAGGAAGUGUGUCUCCUAAAGGUUAAAUGAAAUGACUCAACUAAAAAGUGUGUCUUCUAGGAGUGGAGGUUCAAGUUAAAAAGUGCGCCACCUAACAUAUGAAACUUAAAUUACCCAAACUAGGAAGCGUCUCCUAGGGGUUAAAUAAAAGGACUUGACUAGAAAGUGCGUCUUCUUGAAGUAAUGGUUAAAGCUAGGAAGUGCGUUACCUAACACAUGAAAACUGACAUACCCUGACUAGGAAGUACGUUUCCUAGGGGUUAAAUGAAAUGACUCAACUAGAAAGUGUGUCUUCUAGGAGUGGAGGUUCAAGUUAAAAAGUGUGUCACCUAACAUAUGAAACUUAAAUUACCCAACUAGAAAGUACGUCUUUUUGAAGUAACGGUUCAAGCUAGGAAGUGUGUUACCUAACACAUGAAAACUGACAUACCCUGACUAGGAAGUGUGUCUUCUAGGAGUUAAAGGAAAUGACUCGACUAGAAAGUGCGUCUUCUAGGAGUAAAUAUUUAAGUUAGGAAGUGUGUUAACUAACACAUGAAAACUGAUAUACCUUGACAAGGAAGUGUGUUUCCUAGGGGUUAAAUGAAAUGAUUCAACUAGAAAGUGUGUCUUCUAGGAGUGAAUGUUCAAGUUAAGAAGUGUGUUACCUAACACGUGAAAAUUGACAUACCCUAACUAGAAAGUGCGUCUCCUAAGGGUUAAAUGGAAUGAUUCGACUAGAAAGUGCGCCUUCUAGGAGUGAAUGUUCAAGUUAGGAAGUGCGUCACCAAACACAUGAAACUUAAAUUAUCCAGACUAGAAGGUGUGUCUCCUAGGGGUUAAAUGAAAUGACUCAACUAGAAAGUGCGUCUUCUAGGAGUGAAUGUUCAAGUUAGGAAGUGUGUCACCUAACACAUAAAAGCUAAAAAUAUCCAGACAAGGAAGUGCGUCUCCUAGGGGUUAAAUAAAAUGACUCAACUAAAAGGUGUGUCUUCUAGGAGUAAUGGUUCGAGUUAGGAAGUGUGUCACUUAACAAAUGAAAACUUAAAUUACCCAGACAAGAAAGUGUGUCUCCUAGAGGUAUAGGAUGAUAAGUUUCUACCAUGAUUGUGAUUACUAAACAUGUGUAGCAAUAUUGCCGCUUGCAUUUGCAAAAGUGAGGAAUUGCAUCUUUCUGAUAUUUAGGCUUUGAAGCCUUUCAUUUGAAGAUAACAUGUGUUCUUGUUUCAUGUAACGAGAACUUGUGAGUUUUAAAAACAUGGUGGUUGAUUUGUGGCUUUAGCUUUCGAGGUAAUUGCUCUUGCAUUUUUCAUACUCAGCUACAUUUCAAAUCAUUGAUAAGUAUCGUUGACUUGUCGUAUUCUUGACCCUUAAUUCUGACUACUGAAACUCUUGACUCAAAUUGUUUUCUCUUGUCAGAUGCCUCUGAGUUUAAUUUCUAACACACCUUUUAUCUUUUCACGAGUCCAAAACUGUCAGGUCAUAAACAUUCCUGAGUUCCUUGCUUUAUUUUUGAAAUAUGUUAUCUGUGUGCGCCAGUCCUUUGUUUUGCUUUAUACAAUUGAAGAAGUUGGUAGCAAGUUUUGAAAUCCUUCCUCAUUCGUCUUGACAUGAAUUUGACUCAAAAAAUACGUGAAAGAUGACAAUAGUGAUUUAUCAUUUGACAACAAAUAUACAAAAAUAAAAAAUAAAAUAAAAAUAAUUAAAAAUAAUAAAAAGAAAAGAAUAAGACAAUAGGCAUCUAUUUUUUGAAACGACAAAAAAAAAAAAGAAAACAUAUUUGAGUGUGGUAUCCGAUUCCAAUGAUUACGCAUGCAUUUUGAAUUAAAUCACCUGAUCUUUCUAUACUUAUCAUGAUCAAUUUUUUUCCCUUUUAUUGAAUAUGAAACUAAUCCAAUAUUGAACUUGUCCUUUCCAAAUUAUAAUCCUUCUCCCGCUAGUGGCAUCUCAAUGGGUUUUACCAACGAGCCUAUUUCAUUUUCAUUUCUUUCUCUGCUCACCGUCAUGUUAUGGUGUUCAAAUGAAUUUUUAUCGAUAAGACUCUCUCAUUUUUUGUUAUUCACACAACUCACUAUCGUCUUAUGAUGCCCAAGAGGGUUUACACCAGUAAGACUUUUUUUUAAAAGAAAAUGAUGCCCAAAGUAUGAAACAUGAUGCACUCAAACAUGUUUAGCCUUGACAUUCUCAAAGAUCGAUCUGAAGGUCUUUCUUUGGUUGUAACUUAGCUUUUGGAAAGGGUUAGAAGAAAAGGGCGGCAUAAGGCUCAAAAAUAUACAUGACAUUGGGUAAAGUUUACAACUUUCAGAAUCGACUCAUAAAGAAAAUAAUUUUUGCCCCAAUUUUAUUUCAUACUGGGUAACUUGAUUUUUCACUUUGUUGGACCGAACCUCAGAGUAUGGCUGCCUACAUAUCUUUUCGUAUCAAGAAUCAGUUAAAACGUAGUUCAAACAUCUUAUUCUUUUACUUGAUUUUCUUUUUUUUUUUUUUUUCUUUACUUUUUCUUGACUUUUCUCUCUUCUUCUUCUUUUUUUUGAGAGAGAUUUUUCCUGAUUCUAUUUCUUUUCUUUACAUUUUUUUGGAUCUAUUCUUUAUCUUGACACUUUUUUUUUUGAAUUUUUUCAGACUCUAUUUUGAUUCCAAAAUAGGUGUAUGAAAGAAAAUAAAAUUAAAGCACAAAGGGGAUAACAAAGGAUGACACAACAUUUGGAUAGAAGAAUGAAAUGUCUUCGUCAUAUCAAUCCUUAAAAAUGCAAGUACAUAACAUGCAAUGAGAGAGUGCAACAUAAAAAUCAUGCACAUCUUUUCAACAUUGGCCUUGACUGAGCAAGUACACAUGUGUCACUUCUUUUAAGCUUGUGAAAUAUAUAGGCCCAUUUGUGUUGUACUUUCCUCACAACAGAUGACUUUUUUUUUGUUGCUUCUUCUAACCGUGGAGAUUAUAGAUCCUCUGAUUAAUCUUCAUUCAAAUUUCUUGAGAUGCACCUUCUCAUUUAUAACCAAUUUUUUGAUUCACAAAGUGAUUGUCUCAAUUCAUUCAAAUGAGGCUUUGAUUCGGUCUUCAAGCAUCUCAAAACUUUACUUAUUUUCUUUUUUCAAUUUUAACUUCUUGACUCAAUACUUUAGGAUUAGAUUAGAUUUAAAGAUCAGUUUGUGAAUUCAACAUGCAUAUCACUUCACUAGAAUCACCAUAGAAAGAGCUCUCUAAGGAAAAGAAAGACAACCAAACAAUAUAUAAUGAAAAAUAAAAUAAAAAAAUAAAAAGAAGAUACAUUUGUUGACAGAAAGAUAGAAGAAUUUGAAUAGAAAUGAUAAUAAAAUAAGACAAGAUAGAUCCCAAACUCUAACCCUAAAAUAAUUUGGGUAGUAGAAAGAAAAAUAAAACAGACUACCAAAAAUCCUUCCUCGUGGAGAGCAGACUGACUUCUAAAUUGUCGAACUUAAUAUUUUAGCCACUGAUUUGCACAUCGGCCUUAAUGGAGUCUCCACAAUCAUUGCUAGAUCAUCUGUUUUUCUUUUUGAACCCAAUCAUUUUAAAUUUAUCACCGUCAAACUCUCCGCAAAGUAAGUCGUCACCAGUUUCUCUUUCUCUCUAUUCUUCUUAAUUGAUUUCAAAACCUUUUUAGACGAGCCAAAGGAUCACCAUGACCCUUCUACAUGUCCAACUUUGAUGUUUUAGACUCUAGAGACAAAUGAACAUUGUGAAUUAUGUACAAAUUCUUGUAAGGAUUUUUUUUUUAAGUAUUUGCAUGUUCCUCAUAUUUUGCUCCAAAUUUCUCACUUUCUAGACAAUUUCUUCUUAUUCCUCAUUUCUAAAAGUCUACACCAACUCAUCUCAGACCUUAUACCAUUUUUUGUAGAUCAUCUUGCCUGUUCUUUGGACCUGGUGUUGUAUGGAUGAGAAGCCAAUUUAGCCACAAACCAACCACUUUAAUACUAUUUUGGUUUUGGUGAAAACUAAUGUGUCAGAGUUUAAAUUUUUUUUAAGACCACCGAAUCUAUGAAGGACUGCCUACGCAUCUCAUUAAGAUGAGAAUCAGGUGUGCGUAGUUCGUGAAAUAUAUGUCGUACAAAACUCAACAUCAAGGCCCCUAAAGCUUUAGGGCUGUUAAGAUUUAUAUAUAUUUUUUAUUUUGUAAAAACUUAGCCUCAUGACCCCUAAAGAUUCAGGGUUAUUAAGAUAUAUAAAAAUUGGACUUAAGAAUUAGAAAAAUAAUUAUGAAAAUAAUCAUAUUUUCAAAAUAUUCUCCAAUAAAUCUAUGAAUAAUUUUCAAAAGAUAGGGUCGUGCCUCGAAAAGGGCUUCUUUAAAUUGUGAGAAUCAGACCCUCGUAGUUCAUGAAUAUCUUAAAAAACAUAUGUAUAUUUUUAAUUUCUUUGAAAAAUAAUUUAUUAAAUUUAAGGACAAUAUACUCUCUUGUAUUUUACUAAGUUGCCUAAAAGUUGGUCAACAAUCAAAUAGCCUUCCAGACAAAUGUGAAAGAGCACGUAGGAUGCACAUGUUGGUCAUUAUAAAAUAGGUCACCUGUUCUAGAUAGACCCAUCCCCUGUGCCGAACCCCGCUAAGUCAAAUGCAUAUGAUGCAAAUAAAGCAAAACCUAAUCGGAUAACUAGAUUCUGAGUUUCAGUUCUUCUAAGUUUAGCUUAAUAGGGAUAUGUGUCUAGACUGACUUACCCGAGCGAACACUCGAGUCGGGGAGGGACAACUUGUUUAGUAGCAGUGCUACUCCGCCUUUGUUGUCAAUCCGAAACCCGCCUAACAUGUGUAACUGCAAUCCUUCACUAGGUGUCUUGACACUCUGGCUAGCUCGAAAAGAAAGUAGGAUGCAUACGUUGUAUUCCUUAUAUCUUAUUUCAGAGACUCAGAGAGGGAAGCGCCAGAGAAAAUAAUUUAUAAUACAAUUCAAUAAUAUCAAAGCAGUAAAUAAGUGACAAAUAGCACAUAAGACCAACAAACACAAUAUAAAAUAAUUAAAGCAAGUAAAGUCAAUAUCAAAAGCUCGAAUUCUAGUUGAUCCCCAGCGAAGUUGCCAGAGAUGUCACACCCCUUUUUCGCUCGAGGUUCGAAUCGAAAGAUUUUCCCAAUAAAAGUGACAAUAUUGAAUAGGGAUUAUUUUAUUUACAGAGUCGCCACUUGAAAUUGAGUUAUGGUGUUCCAAGUCACCUUUUUGAAUCACUAGUCAAAAGGAAAUGACUCUUAUUUGGUCUACGAAAAUAGAAAACUGGGUAAGGAAUUCUGUUGAUCGAGGAAAAGGUGUGAGGCACCCCUCGAGUCCCGUGGUUCUAGCACGGUCAUUUUAUUGACUUAUACUUAACUAAAACUAUUUUUUAUAAAUUAUGUUAAGGCCUAAAAUAACUCAUUUUUAAUCAUUUUGAAAACUUGUCUAUUAUCUUAUAUUUAAAUAAAUAGGUGAAAUUUAAUUUUAGAAAAAUAUUUGUCAAGGUGCAUUAUUGCAUCCUUGAAUUAUUUUUAAAUGUUUCAAAAAGAUGUGUAUGCCGCAUUCUUAAUUGAGACAAAAAUUUUAAAUUUGCCUAAUGUUAAAAGCUUACCUACUCGAAAUAGCAUGUAACUUUAAUAGUAAAUUUGAGCAAAAUUCAUUUUAAGAUGAUCAAUUAAUUUAAUAAAUAAAUAAUUAUUAAACUUCAUUAGUUAUAAUAAUAAUAAUAACAAAUAAAAAUAACAAAUAAUUAAGAAAAUACAAUAAAAAUAUAUAAAUAAACAAAAAUAAAUAUAAUUAAUAUAGUACUAAAAAUAUUAGCUUAUUUAUUUAAAAUUUAAAAAGAAAAAAAAUACGUUAAAUUUUUGUAUUAUUUUUAAGAUAAAAAUAAAAAAUAAAAUAUUCAGAAUGUAACUUUAUUUAUUUAUUUAUUUAUUUUUAACUAAAAAUUUAUUUAAAAUGACAUAAAAUAAAUAUUGGACGAAAAUAUAAAUAUUUAAUAUCGAAAAAAAUAUAUUAAACUCGGGAAGGGUCAAAAAUUACGUGUCUACAGCACCCAUUAAAAAAAUAUUAACUAAAAACUACACCAUCCACAACUUAAGUUUCACUUAUUAAAAAAAAUUCCAUCUCUCUAAACAUAUUACAAAAAUCUCAUUUUUCUCUAAAAAUACAUAUACAUAGCUUCUAGGUAUAUGUCGGCCCUGUAUGUAUAUGAAUUGGCUUUGCUCUGUAUAUGUCGACCUUGUUAUGUAGAUGUCGGCCUUGUCAUACUUGUUAUGUAUAUGAAUUGGUUUUGUUAUGUAUAUGUCGGUCUUGUCAAAUACAAAGAUUUCUAUGUAUAUGUCGGCCCUGUUAUGUAUAUGAAUCGGGAGAGAGAGUAAAUAAUUUUAAUAAGGUUGAGAUUUAUGUUAUUUUUAUAAAUAUUAAUUAGGUGCUUGUUUUACUAAAUUAACCUUAUUAAUAAUGCUUUGAAAGUAUAAAUGUGAGUUAUAUACUUCAUGUAGUCAUUUAAUAAUAGGGGUAAUUUUGGAAAAAACAUAAUAAAAUUCUCUUUGAUUUUAUAAAUGGGACAACUAAAUUGAAACAAAUAUUUUUAGCAAGAAGGCCAACUAAUAUGAAACGGAGGGAAUAAGCAUUUUAUGAAGUUUAGUAAACUUAAGUUGUGAUUUUGUGAAAUUUUCUAAAAUAUUAAUGGCCUGUAUUAAUGUGAUUCCCCGGAAAAAAUUUUCGUUAAGAUCUCGGAUGAAAAUGUGUUGAAUUCUAAUCUUUAUCGUGAUUAAUAAUUUUUCUGUGUGGAAUUUCUGGAUAUGCGAUCCGUCAUCGCGUAGAGCAUCGAAUAAGCUUUCCAACGAUAUGUGGAUCAUCCAAAACGGACACUCGAGCGAUGAGUUAUGAUCAUUCCGAUCUAACCGUGAAUAGUGGUGAACAGUAAAUGGCAGGAAAAAAAUACUGAGGCCAGGCAAAUUUUAGGGUCAACUUCAAACGAUCAUAACUCCUUUUACAUAAUGAUCUGGGUGAUCUACUAUAUAUCAACAGAAAGCUCUGAAAGUCCUCUUUCCAAUGAAAUUGGUUUCAUCCAAUUUGGCCAUCGGAAAAAAAAAGUUAUGGUCGAUCUACUUCAGUCUAUCAAAACAGUCCACCAAAGGACAGAUUUGACAUUAUUUGAUUUUUAAGGGUAUUUUGGUCAUUCCCACUCCAAUCCAUCCCGGUAAACCAUGGAUUUAAGUCCAUUAAGAGCAUUCAAUAGCUCAUUUUUUCUCCAAAAUUUUCUAAGGCUCAAACCCCAACCCUACUACUCCAAAUUUCAUCCUUCUAUGUCUCUUGAUUGAACCAUAGAAAUUUUAAAUUGAUUUGGGAUUCGAGUUGAUCAUGUUAAGGGCUUCGAGAAGCACCCUCUAUUUUUGUGAAUAAAGUUCCGGAGUCGGAAGUUCAUAUUCAUAUUCCAUUUUUAGGUAUGUGGGGCUUUGAACAAAAUUAUCCUUUCAAUCUUGUGUCCGGUAUUUUUGUUGAAUUACAUUGACAUGAGAUUUUACAUGUUUUACCAUGAAUUGGAAAUAUGGUUUUAUAUCUUAUAUUAUUGUCCAUGAGCUAUGGGAUUAUGUCAUCCGAUAUGUGUAUGAUGUUGAGAUGGAAUUAUGUCCAAAAAGUAUUUGAUUAUGAGAGUAUGAUGAUUUAAUUUGUUAAGCCUUGAUUUAUACUAUCAUUCCACUAUUUCCUUAUUAUGAAUUUAAAAUUGAUAUUGGAAAUUCUAUAUCCCUACUAUGGGUUGAUGUCUCAAGUACCUUUAAAUGAGAAUUGGAUGGCAAAUUGAGAAAUGUUGAUACUGAAGUUGCAAUGAGUCUUGGUAUUUUCCAGAUGGUUUUGAUGAGNNNNNNNNNNNNNNNNNNNNNNNNNNNNNNNNNNNNNNNNNNNNNNNNNNNNNNNNNNNNNNNNNNNNNNNNNNNNNNNNNNNNNNNNNNNNNNNNNNNNNNNNNNNNNNNNNNNNNNNNNNNNNNNNNNNNNNNNNNNNNNNNNNNNNNNNNNNNNNNNNNNNNNNNNNNNNNNNNNNNNNNNNNNNNNNNNNNNNNNNNNNNNNNNNNNNNNNNNNNNNNNNNNNNNNNNNNNNNNNNNNNNNNNNNNNNNNNNNNNNNNNNNNNNNNNNNNNNNNNNNNNNNNNNNNNNNNNNNNNNNNNNNNNNNNNNNNNNNNNNNNNNNNNNNNNNNNNNNNNNNNNNNNNNNNNNNNNNNNNNNNNNNNNNNNNNNNNNNNNNNNNNNNNNNNNNNNNNNNNNNNNNNNNNNNNNNNNNNNNNNNNNNNNNNNNNNNNNNNNNNNNNNNNNNNNNNNNNNNNNNNNNNNNNNNNNNNNNNNNNNNNNNNNNNNNNNNNNNNNNNNNNNNNNNNNNNNNNNNNNNNNNNNNNNNNNNNNNNNNNNNNNNNNNNNNNNNNNNNNNNNNNNNNNNNNNNNNNNNNNNNNNNNNNNNNNNNNNNNNNNNNNNNNNNNNNNNNNNNNNNNNNNNNNNNNNNNNNNNNNNNNNNNNNNNNNNNNNNNNNNNNNNNNNNNNNNNNNNNNNNNNNNNNNNNNNNNNNNNNNNNNNNNNNNNNNNNNNNNNNNNNNNNNNNNNNNNNNNNNNNNNNNNNNNNNNNNNNNNNNNNNNNNNNNNNNNNNNNNNNNNNNNNNNNNNNUUCUUACCAUGAUGUAGGUUCAGGUACUCAGCCGCAGCCGCGACAGUGAUAUCCGAGUGCCGCAUCUACGUUCCUUCAAUGGUGAGUCCUCAUGGUUCGAGGACCAAGUUGUUAGUUUUGGUGUUGUUGUUUUGUGAUCCCUUUGGUCUGUUGAGUCAGUUGGGGGUUUGUCCCAAUGGCUCGUUGAUUUUGCUGUAUAGAGGCUAUGCCAGACUAGUGUAUUGUUGGGUUGGUUUGUGUAUAGACAUUCCAUAUAUGUACAGUCUAACGAUAUUCCGUGCCAUGUGCGAUGUGAUAUGAUAUGUACUUAUAUAUAUAUCCUUAGUGUAGCGUGUAUGUUGUUGUGUUGGAACCCAAGGGUAGUGUUUUGGCUUAAAGGGUUAGCUUGAGGCUACGUGUAGCCUUGGGCACCGUGUGGCAUCUCGGGAUGAUAUUUUGGGGCGUUACAGUUAAAUUCUCUAAAAAGAUACACUAAUGAAGAAGACGCAUUAAUUAGCAAACUCACAAGUUGAACAAGAAUUAGAAAAUUACAAAGAAUAAUGACACAGUACAGGAGAACUUGUUUGUUAAAAAAAAAGAUCAAGAUGACAAGAAGAAAGGAACCAAAAACUGCAUUAAGCAAUGUUGUGAAAUGUGUUCCUUUCUUAUUAUUUUGUGUUAAAUCUGGUACUAUAUUGAAGAAGGGAAUGUCAAUCCCGAAGAUUGAAAUUUCUCCGACGUUAUGUCAUCAAUUGCUUUUGUCGUAUCCUCCGUCAAAUAAUUCUUCCAAUCGCCAAUUUCUCCAUUUCGAAAAAACAUACUGUUAUGAAGUCCCUGAGUUUCUGGCCGAUGCAAGCUGCUUUUGUUCACCUCUAAAUUGCUCAAGCUUUUGAAAUUACAGCGUGCUACGAUUUGUCCGCCAAUUUUUUCACAUAGUACAAUAUGUCCUUCUUCAAAUCUUCAUACUUCAAGAACAAUACUUUUUUAGGUCUCUCAACAUCAUGACUAUGAUUUGCUUCCCAAUAUCCCAACACGUGAUUCCAGUAAGGUCCAUAAGCCGCUUUGCCUUCACAAAACCACUUGAAUUGGUGUUCAAGUGUAAGAAUAUUUGCUACUGAUUCAUCUUGAUCAAAUAGCUUUUGAUUGAAUCGCCACAAAGAAACAAAGGUAUCUUUGGGUUCUCUACAUAUGUAAAUGAUCUUGCAAUUGGAUUCUAGUAUGGAUGGUGGUAAGUGAGUGUAAGGAACAUGUGUGGAUAAUAAUGACAACUCUGUUAGAAUUUUUUUUUUUUUAAUUUAAUUCUGCAAACAAAUAGGUCGGUGGGGAAAAUCAAACUCCCCACCUUGGAAUAGAAACGAUCUUUAUUCUUUUGUCAACAAAAAAGUUAUUAUUCAGUGAAUAGUAAAUAUAGGAUUUCCUAAUUCUAUUAUUUUCUAUAUCAAUCAGAAAAGCGAAUAGAGUUCCAUUACAUAUUGAUUAGCUCACUAAUCAAUAUCAAAUCUACAAAUUUAGGGUUGGAGAUUAAAUCAACUUCCAAGAAGGGAAGGCAAUC